Molecule: long non-coding RNA, 69137 nt
Filed under: Triticum aestivum (bread wheat)
Lineage: Eukaryota; Viridiplantae; Streptophyta; Magnoliopsida; Poales; Poaceae
Description: long non-coding RNA (TAES_LNC013221)
Source: RNAcentral
GCAGCAAAGGGUGUCCGUGUCCCGCAGUCGACAUCAUCAUCAUAAGAAGAAGAAGAAGAAAGUAGAAUGCAAAGAAAUCCUCCUCGAGUGCAUGCUUACUAGUUUUGUCUCUUCCCGUUUUAGAUUUGGUUGUCAUUUCCCAUUUGGGACCGUCCGUCUGUCCGUCUGAUCGAUGAUGACUAGCUAUGUUUACCGUUUUAUUAUUUCCGUUCCUUUCAUCAAGUUUGCAGUUCGAGUUAUGUAACCCAAAGACGUAUGCUUUGCUUCAGAAGUAUUAUUGACUAGUAGUACUAUUGCGUCUUAAAUUCCUGUUAAGCUGAGAUUUGAUUAUGUGUGCAUGUGCAUUGCAACCCGUCUCGCAUGUUAUCUUUUCCUCUGGAGAGACAAAAUUUUUUAACCUCAACUGGUCAUAAAGAAAAUGUAACAAAACGGAACGGAACGCAUCACGUGUAUGCAAGUGUCAGCGCCGCGCUAACGUAAUUUGUGCAUGCACUACCAUAACAAAAACCGCGCUUCAGCACGUGCAGAACACAUUCCUCGCGGCGACUCGAAAACCUGCACGCGGCCCAACGGCAAGCUAAAGACAUGCCCCGUCGUUCUCAAAAAAAAAAGACAUGCCCCGUCGUUCUCAAAAAAAAAAAAAGACAUGCCCCGUCUCGCACUGUCACAGUAGUGCAUCGGAUGCCCUUGUCGUCUUUUACCAUGGCCAAUGCCAUAUCCAUAUGCACCUGCAUGCAUGUGCCGGCCGGCCAGGUGCGAGAGAUGCGGUCAAAAGCAUCGCUCGUCCAGGCAAGUUUCCGGCCCUCGCGGCGGGCGGCGUCGGCACCAGGUCCAGCGGAUUGGCUACGGCAGCUCCCGGCGAGAUUCCCUCCCUCCCUCUCUUCUUCGGUUAUCUCGCCUCGCUUUAUACAUGGCCUCAGCUUUGGCUCGCCGCUUUCCUUCUUUCUUUAGGCCUCUCCUUUGGUUUCCUUGUCUCUUUGUAGUAUGCGUGUCUUUUAUCGUGGGGAGGAGGAACCAAAGGCGGCCGCCCGGCCCGGGGGUAGCUAAAGCCUUGCUGCUGCUGGUGCAGACGCUGCCUUUGGAGGCACCGUGUUCCGUUGCUUGACCUCCUUUGCAGUUGCGCGCGACGGCGAGUGACCACCACAUUGCACGGAUUUUCAAGAUGAUGGCCACACCAAAGUACGUACUAGUAGUAGUGGCUUUUGGAGGAGCGGGGUGGCAUCGUGGAGUUCACCUGAAUCCCUAACUAAACUCGAACCUACUACUGACGAUGUGUUUCCCCCCUUUCGGAUGGUUUUACUGCAUACUUGCGAGCAUUCCUGAACUUAUAGGAUUCUAAAAAGGGGAUACCGUUUCGAAAUAAGUGGCUCUCCCUCCGUCUCAAAAUAAAUGUCUCGACUUCGUACUAACUUUAGUACAAAGUUGUACUAAGGCUGAGACAUUUAUUUUGGAAUGGAGAGAGUACUACUUAUAACAAACAGUUUGGAAAACUUGCACGGAAUUAUGUUCGAAUUUGAAGAGAGAAAAAACAAUUCUGCCUCCUAUCUAUUUUUUGAAUGUUGGUAGGAGUUCUACCAAAUUCAUUGAUCAGUAAGGAGUAAAAACAGUACAGAAGGGUGCCCAAUAAAAAAUGAACAAAGCACCUAAGAAAGGGUGCUAAAAGAGGAAAAAACAAGCCAACAAAUCAGCCUGGGUCGAAGGGGAUCCUUGCUCCUGCCAUGUUCCAGAUUCUAAUUUCCUCCUUAAUUCUCCUCAACAGCGUGCUAGUAUCCAUCCGCUUGUUGUCGAACAGCCGUCUGUUUCGUUCGCACCAUAUUUCCCAAGAGAUUAGGUGCAGAAGAGACAAGGUCCCUUUCUUUUUUGCGAUCGGUGCUUUUUGCCAGCAGCUUUGCAUCCAUCCUCCAACGCUGUGCAGCUCCAUCCAGGAGAUUGGCCGCAAUGAUGGCAAGGCAGCCACAGCCGCGAUCAAGUCCCAGGCCUUCCUUGCCCACGGGCAUUCCACAAGAAGAUGGAAGGCAGUUUCCAGAUUUCUCUGACACAAAGGACAGAAAUAGUUGUUCUCCCAUCCGCGCCGCAGCAACACAUCGGCCGUCCCGUCAAAUUCUGCCUCCUAUCUAUGAUACAAAGGUAUGCCCCUGUUUGUUCUGCCUCAUAUCUAUGAUACAAAGGUAUGCCCCCGUACGUUCAAAGCAUAUUGUUAUACUCCCUUAUUUCAUAAUGUUUAAGUAUUUUUGAAAAAUCAACCCUGACAAACUUUGACCAAAUUUAUGGAGAAAAAAUAUUUACAUCUAGAAUGUCAAACAUGUAUCGUUAGAUUCAUCGUAAGAUGUAGUUUCAUAUUUUUAUAUAUUUGGUAAUGUAGAUAUAAAUAGUUUUCUUUAUAAACUUACUCAAAGUUUGGCUUUUAAAACAAAUGCAUUAUGUUAUGGAACGGAGGGAGUACUUUUUACAUAAAUCAUUCAAUACAAAUGUCUCAUAUUCCUAAAUAGCGUUGAACCUAGUAUAAAUUUUUAGCCAUGCUCUUUGGGCAUUGAAAGAUUUUCAAGUGAAACUUGCAAGGUUUUAGUUCUCUCUUCGUGUGAAAACUCAUGACCUAGCCUAUGGCUAGAUCAGGCAAUGUUGACAUACACAUGUUGUUACCUUGUUCAAGAUGUUGGUUCAAAGCCUUCUUCGAGGGUGACAGCUCUUAACAUCUGGUUGGACCAACCAAUAUCAGCAUGUGAGCGACGAUUCCUUCUUGAAGGCGUUGUCUUGGAUUGAUGUGUACUUUUGUGACGCCCUCAAUUUAAUCGUACACUAAUCAUACACGCAAAUGUGCACGAUCAAGAUCAAGGACUCACGGGAAGAUAUGACAACACAACUUUAGACACAAAUAAAAUAAUACAAGAUUUAUAUACAAGCCAGGGGCCUCGAGGGCUCGAAUACAUAAGCUCGAUCUUAAACGAGUCAGCGGAAACAACAAUAUCUGCGGAUAGACAUAAGUUAAACAAGGUGCCAUAAGAUGGCUAACACAAACAGGCAUACAGAUCGAAGCGGUGCAUGCCUCCUGCCUGGGAUCCUCCUAAACUACUCUUGGUCGUCGGCGGCCUGCACGUAGUAGUAGGCACCCUCGGUGUAGUAGGGGUCAUCGUCGGUGGCGUCUGGCUCCGGGGCUCCAGCAUCUGGUUGCGACAUCCGAGAAGAAUGGAAAAAGGGGGGAAAGAGGGAGCAAAGCAACCGUGAGUACUCAUCCAAAGUACUCGUAAGCAAGGAUCUACACUACAUAUGCAUCGGUAUCAAUGAAAUGGGUAGUAUCUAUGGAGUGAACUGCAGAAUGCCAGAAUAAGAGGGGGAUAGCUAGUCUAUCGAAGACUACGCUUCUGGCGGCCUCCAUCUUGAAGCAUAUAGAAGAGAGUAGCAAGUAUAGCCUCAACUAACAUCAUAUAGCAUAAUCCUACCCGACGAUCCUCUCCUCGUCACCUUGUGAGAGAGCGAUCACCGGGUUGUCUCUGGAACUUACCUGGGCGUGAUUGAUUAAGUAUCUGGUUCUAGUUGUCAUGAGGUCGGAAUACAACUCCAAGUCUCCUGUUACCGUGGACACGGCUCGUAUUCGUCUUCUAGGAUUCCAUAUUUAGAUUCUUCUAGGGUUGAAUUGUAUUUUUAUUGAUCAAUUAGAAUUGACUUCUAGAACGUAUAAUUGUCUAAAAAGGCAUUUCUUCGAUUUGUUCUCCUCUUCUAAGGUUAUAGCUUUCGUGCUAGCUUCAUCGAUGUUACCCACCAAAUAAAGAGCUUGUUCAGGUAGGCCGUCUAAUUCUCCGGAAAAAUCUCGUGCUGAAGAGCGUGGAGGUUCGUUUCGGUAUAUUGAAAUAUAAACAUAAAAAAGAAGAUAGAGGAUAGGCUCAUUACUUAAAAAAAAGCUUGCAAAUGGAGUCCUGAACUAGCCGCAGCUUGUGAAGUAUGGAAGGCGAUCAAAUUCGAGUUCGCUCGGGCCCCCCUGGAAGGGGGCCUUCUUUGCCUUCCUUUAAAUUGAGUAUCCGUUUCCCUCCUUUUCCCGCUAGGAUCGGAAAUCCUUUUCUAUAUGGGUUGCCCGGGACUCGAACCCGUUAAUUAUGUCUCUCCUAGAGGUUGGUUAUCAACUUCUCAUUUUAUUCUAGGAUUCUACUUUUUUUGUGGGCCAGGCAGUUAUAGAUGCCCUAACAAAACUUCGACCCAAUUUUUCCUUUUUUUUUGAUUCCUUAGAAUCUUUUUUUUCUUUCUGGCGGUAUCAAACAACCACCUAAUAUCUUAUCCGCCUCUUCAGGAAAAUGAAUAUUUUUCUGUUUUAACAAAUUCAAUAUAAAAAAACCAAACUUUUUCUUUUAUUUUCUUUUUGAAAAAAAUGGAUUUCAUUGAAGUAAUAAAACUAUUCCAAUUCGAAUAAUGAUAGUAUCUUGUACCUGAACCGGUGGCUCACCUUUUCUAAGUAAUGGGGAAGAAUUUUAAUGUAAGAAUAAAGAAUUGAAUUAAAGGGCUUGCUUUGGAACCAGGCCAAUUUGGGAGCGGCUUUGUGAUAAUGGAACCAACCAGCAAAAAGCAUUAACACUGCAAAAAUCCAAAAUAGAAUUAGUCCCGCUCAUUAUGAACCGAAAGGGGCUCGUAUUUUGCCAAGAAAUCUCUAGCCAACCUUCCCACAAGAGGUUUUUCUUAACACCUCCGAUGCGAAAGUAAUUGUGCAUCAUUCGCAUACUUGUAGCAGCUUCAAAUAGAUCAGACAUAGUUUGGAAGUUAGACCUUUUUAUAGGACUCUCUUUCAAUUUCAAAAAAGAGGACGUUUGAAACUUCGAAUCUGUUGUCAUUCUACUGCAACAGUUGUACUGCAACAGUAGUACAGUGUGAAUUUGCCAGUACAUUCAAUGUACUGACCCUUUGUGGCUGCAACGUCUCAUGUUGCAGGACUUCUUACGACGAGUAAGUGAUACGUUAGGGUUACGAUUUCUACACUCAACUUUGCCGUUGGUGUUGAUGGGAUACUUCCACUAUUUGGAUUGAGGUAAUAGUAUUUACAUUAUUUUAUACAUGUGAUUUACCUCUGUUAUAAAUCCUCGAGUACUGUGUGUGUCAGCAUACCGAUCCAGGGAUGACACUUAAGCACAGAGACUUGACCGUCUAAGGUCGGGUCGCUACAAGAUGGUAUCGGAGCACAUGUUGACUGUAGGACGUGACCCCUAGAAACUGGCAAACCCAUAGGAAGGAUUUUCUCUAAAACUUUCUUUUUCAAAAGAUCUUUUACCUCUCUUCUCUUUUGAGCUUAUUCAAAUAUUCACUUUUAGUGAGACCAUACCCCUUUUUCCCUUUUGACCACUCGAAGAUUCGGCUGACGAGACCACUCCAAGAAGUACAAGAUAUCGGACAACCACGACUGUCGUGGAAUUGUCACGGCAGAUGUCCUCAAGCUAGGACUUAGUCGUGGAGCCAUCGCCGCUAGGAAGCUUGAAGGGGUUAACGGGACAAGGAACACGAGGGUUUAUACUGGUUCGGACCCUUACGGUGAAGGUAAAAGCCUACGUCCAGUUGAGGUGGUAUUGAUUAGGGUUUCGAUGACCAGGGAGCUUAACUGCUAUGCCCGGCUCUCGAUGAGAUCUUUCUUGUCCCUAAACCGCUGCCGGGUCGUCCCUCUAUAUAGGGAGGCUGAUGCCCAGCAGCUCUCAGAGUCCCGGCCGGCUCAUAAGAGUGUCCGGCUCGGACUCUCAACUAUUCUUGCCUUACACUACAAGUUCUACCAUAAUGACGGUUGUAACUACGGGCCUUAAGCCAUAUCCGGGUCUUAAGCCCAUCUUUGGCCCACCGUCUUCAAGCUUGUCGCCGGGCUUCUGGUGAUGACCAUUAUGAGUAACCCGGCCCCUUCUGGUGGGUGACUCUAAGGUCUAUAUCCUCAACAUUAGGCCCCAGAUUGAUUUGAGCCGGCUCAUGUCAAUCUUCAAUUCUUUCGACAGAAAAUCUCCGGCUUACAAUUGUGUGAAGGCCAUAACCCGGCGUGACGUCAUCCUCUAGACUCCGGGUAAUCCGCCGUGACGUCAUCUUCCAUUAAGUCCAUUUUUUAUUCCACCAGAUCCGCAACGAAUCUUAUCUUUACUGCCAUCCCGAAAAUCGAGGCGUUUUAUGGGGAGAUAACCACGCCGUGGUCUCCUCGUUUCUCGCGCCCACUUACGAGUCUGGCCUUAUAAAUAGUCCGGCGCGAUGAGCCUUCAGCCACCCGUCUUCCUCCUCGCGCCACUGCUCCUCCGCUCGAGCUCUGUCGCCGUCGCCGCCGCGGGUCUUCUCGUCCUCACCAACUCCGGCCGCUGCAUCAACCUGUUGUGUCCAGAGAACGGCAGCGUCCUCCGCGACUCACCAGCACCUGUAAGUCCUUGCUGCCCCGUAGAACAGAUCUGCAGUAGGGUUUCUUCUUGUUCUUCCCGUGUUUCUUCACCGUUCUUCGCAGGCCCUCGGUAGAUUUGAUUUUUUACCACCCCUUUUGAUCUUAGACUUGUAUAGAACCACUGCGGUAGCUAUUUCACUUCCAUUCCUAAUGCAAAUAGAUCCCCUUUUUACUGCAUAGAUGCUUUGUUCGAACCCGCAGACUUCUUCUGCAUCUGUUUUUAGGUCUAGGAAUUUUCCUUUUCAACCGACCGUUUUGAUCCAAAUUAUUUACUGCGAUGUGUGAAACCUGUUUUCACCACACUUAGUAAAAAACUACACCUGUCGAGUCGUGGCGGUUUACGCUUCCGGCUUAAAGAAGCCACGUACUGUAAAAAUUUCUGGCUCAUUUGCAGCAAGGCUGUAGAUAAUUGAAUGGCUCUCAAUACCUCGGGCAGCUUAAAUAACCCGACGCACCUAGAUAUAUAUCAUUAGUCCCCUCCAUAAGCCGCCACUUUAACAUUGAACUGUAAAUUUCCUCCGGCUUAUAAUUAAACCGGGCAUGUUUCCUUUUAUCAUAGGCUUCCGACCUUCACCAUGCCUCCCAAAGCUCCUAAAGCAUCCAUCACUUGCAAUUGGAUGAGGUCCAAUGUCACCGACGAGACCUUAGCGGAUUUUGUAAAGUCGGGUUACCUGCCUAAGAAGGACGUCAUGUCCUACCGUGCCCCUGACCCGUCAGAGGAGAGACCACAGCCAAAGAACGGGGAGGUAGUGAUUUUUGCAGAUCACAUGAGCCGGGGCUUCGCACCGCCCGGCUCAAAGUUUUUUAGAGAUGUGCUGAACUUCUUUGAUCUGCGGCCACAAGACAUAGGACCCAAUUCUGUGUCCAAUAUAUGCAACUUCCAAGUGUUCUGUGAAGUCUACCUUGGAGAAGAGCCCAGCCUGCUGCUCUUCAGAGAGCUCUUCUAUCUGAACCGGCAGAACGAGUGCGCAAACGGGCCAAGUUUGGAACUCGGCGGAAUCUCCAUUCAGCGACGGAGAGACUGCCUCUUCCCUUACGCCGAACCGCCAAGCCACCCAAAGGACUGGAACCAGACGUGGUUCUACUGCCAAGACACGUCGCCGGCUGACGAGAGCCCGCUGCCCGGCUUUCGCCCCUCGCGUCUGGAACCAACACACCCUUUGUCAGACAAGCUAACUCAAGCGGAGCGCCAACCUCUGCUUCCCACCAUUAACAAGAUCAAGGCUCUCCUGGGCAAUGGUCUCAAUGGAAUUGACCUGGUCCGAGUCUGGAUCUCCUGGCGGGUGAUCCCAUUGAGCCGCCGCCCCGGCUUAAUGUGUGAGUACACGGGCGAAAGGAUGACCCCCUGAGACACAGCCACAACGACCUUCCUGAAGACGUUGCUGAGGACAUGACCAAAGCUCUUUUGAACGAGAGCCUGGCAGACUGCGGGAGGACCGGCUUAAGCCCCUUCUGCAAGACCAACCCGGCCCCAGCGGUAAGCCGCUGAUCUGAACAUCUUAUUUUCUUCUGUAUAUAGCUUGCAUCCGAACCUUAAGAACUCGACAUUGUAUUCUUCAGGCAGAUGACAAAUUCUGGAAGGUCAAAUACGACCAUGAGGCGGCCAAAAAAGCCAGGAAGGCGAAGAAAGCCGCCAAGAGAGCUGCUCCCCGCAAGAAGGGAAGUAGGCCUACUGCUUCAGAGCUGCUGCAACUAAGCGACAGCUCCGAGUCAGAGGUAACCCCUGAACCUGUAAGCCCUUGUUGUAUUCGUUGUUUAUUUUUGUCCACCUUAUCAAUACUGUUCAUCAACAGGAUGACACCGGAGCAAGUAACCCGGUGGUUGAAGAGGUAAUGUCACUUUCCUCCGACUCGGAGCCCUUGCCAAGGCUGAAAGUCCGAAGGGUAACCCGAAAAGUAAGAUUUUCACAUCCUUUAGCUUAUCAAGAUCCUCAAUUUCUUUUGAAGCAACAGACUCAUGAGAGCCGGCGGCACACCCGGGCCAACAAGGACGCUGACCUCUCUUCCGGCUUACCCGACGCAUCGAGGAAACGCCGAACCGAGGUUAUCUCCAACUUGUACCCUUUUCAUCCUUUGGCGGGUGUUAUACGUCAACCGCUCAAUUCUUCUGGUUCAAACUAUCAGGAAACCUCACCCUCCUCUGGUGACUCGAUGCAAUCAAGCCUGCCGGCCUUCAAGACCGUACCCGGGUAACAAUGAUCAUCUCUUUGUUGUGCUUACCUUUGCUCAUACCUUUGUACUAACCUUUUUGUCCUUUUAGUGCCCAGGCAAAGCUCACCAAGAGGGCGAAGAAGAACAAGCCGGUCGAAGAGCCGGACUUGCCUGAACCGGAGGUAGCAGCUCAAGAACCGCCAGCUGCCUCCGCUCCCGAAGCCACCGCUCCAACCGACAAGGCAACUGCAGAGGCUUCUGCUAACCCGGAGACCUCCAGCUCGGCUCAGCCGAUCAAUGACCCGGACGUGGUAAUCACCCGGACGGAGUUUGUUGAGCCGGGGAGACCUACUGCACUGGCCAAGUGCUCCGCCAAGGAGGAGUUGCUACAGCACCGCCGGGUUAAUCUGGACCUCACCGACUACGCCAAUCUGAACAUCGGAGAGAUCGUCUCCGGCUAUGUCAGCCAAGUGCACAAGAGCCGGGAUGUAGAGAUCGGCAUGGUGAACUAGAUUCAGCAGAAGUCUGAGGUACUACUCUUCUUUCUUCUUGCUUACUGCAUAGUUAUCUUGUUAUUCUUACCAUACUCUAGCCCCCAAGUCUACGACUUAUGAUAGAAUACGUUGUAGACUUAAGUUCCGGCUUACUCGCUUAAACCGGCAACUUGUAAAUAGAAAACGUUCGAUAUGCAUUAGCCCCCAAGUGCCAAGUGUCUUUGCUUGGAAAGUGCUUGGGACUUUAAAAUUGCAUAAUAACUGUUCAUCCCAUAACCCAGAAAUUAUGCAGGCUGCUUGCAAGAAGUUUGAAGCUGACAUCUCUGAUCUGAAGACCCGGCUGAGGACGCAAGAAACUGAGACCCGGAAGGCCAAUGCCAAAUUUGUGUCCAGUAUUGCUGCACAAGAAAAGCUGAAGACGGACUUUGAUGCUGAACGGAAAGCUUGGGCCGAAGAGAAGGCUACUCUGGUGAACCGGGCCGAACAGGCGGAGAAGGCUCUGACAGAGAAGACCGCCGAACUCGCCGGCUUAAAACGCCAGGUGUCCCAGAUGGUUACCGCAAUCUUCGGUAAGUCAUUCCACCGGCUUUUCGUCCAGUUUAUAAUUUUUAUGUCUCAUAACCCAUCAUUGCCGGCGGCUUAUCUUACUCUGUUACACAGGUCCCAGAAGCGCCAACCUCAACCAAAGCGUGGUGACCAAGUUGAAGGCCGUGUACACCCUGGUGGAGCAACUCUACACCGGGUCACAGCGCGCCUUGGCCGUGGUGGCCCUAUCCAAUGAGGUGCCGACUCAUCUGGUGGAAGUUCUUCGCCGGCUUGCCGUUCUUCCCCAACGUGUCCAAGAGCUGCGGCGGGCCUCUGCAAGAGCCGGAGCUAUCGCCGCUCUGAGCCGGGCCAAGGCGUUCCUUCCAGAGUUAGACCCGGCAGACAUUGCCCUCGGCUAUCCCAGUUUGAAGGAAGACGGCACACCCUUCGACCAAAGGGACUUUGCAGCCUGCGUGAAGAUCAUGCGCCCGGUGGCCACCCUCAUUGGAAACGACACAGAUCUGACCAAGUACCAGCCGGGUUACAAUGCAGAAAAUCAUAGGAUCCCCACUCCGCGUUAUGAAGCUAUCAGCUUAGUCCCACCAGCUCGUAAGCACACCUUCGCCCCGGAGAUUGACCCGGCCGGGUUAAUUGACGAGGAAGCUCAAUUUGAAGCUCUGAGCGGCAUUGACUGGAAGUCGUCAACUUUCCAGGUCUUGGGAACAGCCGGAGGAGAGGAGAGGGAUGAGCCGGAGACUUCAACCCAGCAAGCGUCGUAACUCUGUAGAUGGUUUAUGUGAAACAAUGCUUCACCCUUUUGGACUCAAUGAGUCUUGUAAUAGAAUAGGAUCAACACUUUAACUGUGCCGUGCCAUCGUGCACGUGUUGAAUGCUGAAUUCUUAUGAAAGUUGCUUCCUUAUAUGUCUCCGGGUUAUAGUUGAUCAGUCAUGCUCCUUAAGCUUAAAUAGUUGUCUUUAACUAUCCUGCAUAGAAAGACAAAUCACAAGUCUCGAGGCGGCUUACCGCACGGAGAAUCAUAGUCUUAUGCAUAUAACCCGGAAUAUGAUUCACCAAAGACUGGUCCUCAAUUAUGUCCAUGAUAUAACCGUAACAACACACUUACCAGCCUGCAAGCACACUUCCGGCUUAGAUAAUCCGGGCAAUAAGGUUGGCACCUCAAUUCCAGUUUACCAGUCUUAAUGACGCCGGUUGUAUUCGACUAGCACUAUAAAUCAAAGUUAAGCCGGCAAAGUGAGACCCGCCGUGCAUACUUGAAAUAAUCAGAAGAACUUGCUAUAAAUCAGAAAAACGUAGGGGCUUCCGGUUCGAAUACGACCAGAGACCUGUCCCAAAGGGGUUAUGCUAGGAUUCGAAUGCGAUCAUAUAGCCCCAGUGGGUGUGGCGAUGCCAAUCAAGAGGGUACCGACAGCCAUGUUCUCUUUGGUUCGAAUACGACCCAUGUUUGAACAGGAAGCCCCCAAAUGACUUUAAGAAUUGUUUAACGACGCUGAUUCGAAUACGAUCCACGUCGGUUCCCAAAGGGGGUUGAACUAUGAUUCAGAUAUGAUCAAAGAAAACUCCUCAAUGAGCUCGGCACCUUGCCAAUCAAAUGGGUAUCGACAGCUAUGUUCUCUUUGGUUCGAAUACGACCUAUGUUUGAACAGGAAGCCCUCAAGUGACCUUAUUGCCUAUGGCUAGAUUCGAAUACGAUCAUAAGCCGGAUCCUCCUUCAAGUUAUCAUGUGAUCUUGCCAUGGAAACAACACAUUCACAUUUGUAGGAGAAAAAAGGACAGAGGUCCUGCUUUAUUGCUUAUCAUAAUAUAUACACGGCUUAGAGAAAUAUGUACAUUAUGAGAGCCGGUGGCUCAAGUGUAGUAAGGUCGAAGCUGAGCUAUAUUCCACGGCCGACGGGUCUCUUCCUCCGACUUACGUGAAUCUUUGUGCUCCCGAAUGUCAAUGAGGUAAUAUGACCUGUUGUGCAAAUUCUUGCUGACCACAAAAGGCCCUUCCCAAGGCGGGGAUAGCUUGUGCGCAUAUGUUUGAUCUUGGAUGAGCCGGAGCACGAGAUCGCCUUCCUGGAAGACCCGGGAUUUAACCCGGCGACUAUGAUAACGGCGCAGGUCUUGUUGGUAAAUCGCUGAGCGAGCUGCUGCCACAUCACGCUGUUCGUCCAACAAGUCAAGAGCAUCUUGGCGCGCCUGUUCAUUAUCCGCCUCAACAUAAGCCGCCACUCGAGGCGAGUCAUGACGGAUGUCACUGGGGAGGACUGCUUCUGCCCCAUAAACCAUGAAGAAAGGCGUGAAACCUGUAGACCUGUUAGGAGUAGUGUUGAUGCUCCAUAACACGGAGGGCAACUCCUCCACCCAACAACCCGGCGUCCGUUGCAAAGGGACCAAAAGCCGGGGCUUGAUGCCCUUCAGAAUCUCCUGAUUAGCCCUCUCAGCUUGACCAUUGGAUUGAGGAUGAGCCACUGAUGAAACAUCAAGUCGGAUAUGCUCUCGUUGAAAAAAAAUCCUCCAUGGCGCCUUUGGAUAGAUUGGUACCAUUGUCAGUUAUAAUGCUGUGCGGAAAGCCAAAGCGAAAAAUCACCUUUUUCAUAAAUUGAACCGUCGUGGCUGCAUCACACUUGCUAACUGGCUCCGCUUCAACCCACUUGGUAAAUUUGUCAACUGCCACCAAGAGGUGGGUCUUCUUAUCCUUGGACCUUUUAAAAGGCCCAACCAUAUCAAGCCCCCAGACCGCAAAGGGCCAAGUAAUUGGGAUCAUCCUUAGCUCCUGAGCCGGCACAUGAGCCCGUCGCGAGAACCUUUGGCAACCAUCACAUUUACUGACCAAGUCCUCCGCAUCAGCAUGGUCCGUCAGCCAAUAAAAACCAUGACGAAAAGCCUUUGCCAUAAGAGACUUUGAGCCAGCGUGAUGGCCACAAUCCCCUUUAUGAAUCUCACGCAAGAUCUCUUGACCUUCCUCAGGGGAGACACAACGCUGGAACGCUCCCGUAACACUGCGGCGAUGCAACUCACCAUUGAUAACAAUCAUUGACUUAGACCGCCGGGUUAUUUGUUUGGCCAAAGUUUCAUCCUCAGGCAAAUCUCCCCGGGUCAUGUAAGCCAGAUAGGGCAUUGUCCAGUCCGGUAUGAUGUGGAGAGCCGCCACCAGUCGUGCCUCCGGGUCAGGGACAGCCAAGUCUUCCUCUGUAGGCAACUUAACAGAAGGGUUAUGCAGGACGUCCAGGAAAAUAUUAGGCGGCACCGGUUUUCGCUGAGAGCCCAGCCGGCUUAAAGCAUCAGCCGCCUCGUUCUUCCUGCGAUCGAUGUGCUCUACUUGGUAACCCUGAAAGUGCCCAGCAAUGGCAUCAACUUCGCGGCGAUAAGCCGCCAUGAGAGGGUCCUUGGAGUCCCACUUUCCUGAUACUUGUUGAGCCACCAAGUCUGAGUCGCCGAAGCACCUUACCCGGCUCAAGCUCAUCUCCUUAGCCAUCCGAAGACCGUGGAGCAAGGCCUCGUACUCAGCCGCGUUGUUGGUAGAAGGAAACAUCAAUUGUAGCACAUAAUGGAACUUAUCACCCUUAGGGGAAGCCAAUACGACUCCAGCCCCCGAGCCCUCCAACUGCCUGGACCCAUCAAAGUGAAUAGUCCAAUAUGUGUUAUCCGGCUUUUGUUCGCGCAUUUGUAGCUCUGUCCAAUCAUUGAUGAAAUCCACCAAAGCCUGAGAUUUAACAGCAGUGCGUGGCACAUACUUCAGACCAUGAGGCCCGAGCUCUAUAGCCCACUUAGCCACACUCCCUGUGGCCUCCCUGUUUUGAAUGAUAUCUCCAAGGGGGGCAAAACUGACCACAGUAAUGGGGUGACCCUGGAAAUAAUGCUUAAGCUUCCGGCUUGCCAUGAACACACCAUAAACAAGUUUCUGCCAAUGCGGAUACCGCUGCUUGGACUCGAUGAGUAUUUCGCUGACAUAAUAAACCGGCCUCUGAACCGGAUGCUCCUUACCCUCUUCCUUGCGCUCCACCACCACGGCCACACUGACGGCUCGGGUGUUAGCAGCCACAUACAGCAAUAAAGGCUCCUUGUCAACCGGAGCAGCAAGGACCGGGGGCUCGGCCAGCUGUCUCUUCAAAUCCUCAAAAGCAGUAUUAGCUGCAUCAUUCCAGACAAAGUCAUCAGUUUUCUUCAUCAACUAAUAUAAUGGCAUGGCCUUCUCACCCAAACGGCUUAUGAACCGGCUUAAAGCAGCGAUACGACCCGCCAAGCGCUGGACGUCGUUUAUACACGCCGGCUUAGCCAGGGAGGUGAUGGCCUUGAUCUUCUCCGGGUUAGCUUCAAUGCCUUUGUUAGAAACCAAGAAACCCAAGAGCUUGCCUGCAGGAACACCAAAAACACAUUUGGCCGGGUUAAGCAUCAUCUUGUAGACCCGGAGAUUAUCAAAGGUUUCCCUCAGAUGAUCUAUCAAGGUUUCCUCCUUCCUGGAUUUAACCACAAUAUCAUCCACAUAAGCAUGAACAUUGCGCCCAAUCUGGUUAUGAAGACAGUUCUGCACGCAACGUUGAUAAGUCGCCUGUGCACUCAUGAGUCCAAAGGGCAUAGACACAUAGCAGAAGGCUCCAAAGGGAGUGAUGAACGCCGUCUUCUCCUGGUCCUUAACUGCCAUUUUAAUCUGAUGAUAUCCAGAAUAAGCAUCCAAGAAACUUAGGCGCUCACAACCCGCCGUAGCAUCAAUAAUUUGAUCAAUACGGGGAAGGGCAAAAGGAUCAGCCGGACAUGCCUUGUUCAAGUCCGUGUAGUCCACACACAUCCGCCAGGUGCCGUUCUUCUUGAGUACGAGCACCGGGUUAGCUAACCAUUCUGGGUGAAAGACUUCAACGAUAAACCCGGCCGCCAAGAGCCGGGCCACCUCUUCACCAAUAGCUUUCCGCCUCUCUUCAUUAAACCGCCGGAGGAACUGCCUGACCGGCUUAAAUUUUGGAUCAACAUUGAGAGUGUGCUUCAGCGAGUUCUCUAGGUACACCUGGCAUGUCAGAUGGCUUCCAUGCAAAAAUGUCCUUAUUCUCACGGAUGAACUCGAUGAGCGCGCUUUCCUAUUUUGGAUCCAGAUUGGCACUGAUGCUAAACUGCUGAGAUCAAUCUCCUGGAACAAAAUCAACAAGUUUAGUCUCAUCAGCCGACUUAAAUUUCAUUGCCGGCUCAUGCUCCGUAGUCGGCUUUUUCAGAGAGGUCAUAUCUGUUGGGUCAACGUUGUCUUUCUAAAACUUCAACUCUUCUGUUGCACAAACAGAUUCUGCGUAAGCUGCAUCGCCUUCCUCACACUCCAGGGCCACCUUCCGGCUGUCGUGAACCGUAAUGGUCCCAUUAUGACCCGGCAUCUUGAGCUGUAAAUACACGUAACACGGCCGUGCCAUGAACUUGGCGUAAGCCGGCCGCCCAAAUAUGGCAUGGUACGGACUUCUUAUCUUGACCACCUCAAAGGUCAAUUUUUCCACCCUGUAGUUGUGCUCAUCUCCAAAGGCCACUUCCAACUCGAUCUUGCCGACUGGAUAAGCCGACUUACCAGGUACCACACCAUGGAAAAUAGUGUUUGACUGGCUGAGGUUCUUAUCAAUCAACCCCAUACGACGGAACGUCUCAUAAUAGAGGAUGUUGAUGCUGCUGCCUCGAUCCAUGAGCACCUUAGUGAACUUAUAUCCUCCCACCUGAGGAGCCACCACCAAGGCCAAGUGACCCGGAUUAUCCACCCGGGGAGGGUGAUCCUCCCUACUCCACACUAUAGGCUGCUCAGACCACCGCAAGUAGCGUGGAACUGCCGGCUCAACAGCAUUCACAGCCCUCUUAUGAAGCUUCUGAUCUCGCUUACACAGACUGGUGGUAAACACAUGAUACUGUCCACCGCUAAGCUGCUUUGGGUUGGUCUGAUAACCCCCCUGCUGCUGUUGAUGACCCUGGCCAGACUGCUGAUUAAAGCCCCCUUGACCGUUUUGAGGAUUAGAAUUCGAGCCGCCGCCCGGGCCAUGAAAGCCGCCGGCGCCUGAGCCACCGCCCGGGCCGUUGUUGCCAUUAAAGGCGUUGGAAUUCUUAAAGGCCUUCAUGAUUGCACAAUCCUUCCAUAGAUGAGUAGCUGGCUUCUCUCUAGAGCCAUGCCUUGGACAAGGCUCAUUCAAUAGCUGCUCCAGCGUCGGGCCUGACCCGCCGGCUCAGGGAGGGGGCCUCCCCUUGCGUCGCUGGUUAUUACCCUGUGAGCUGGCGUUGGCUACGAACUCUAGGCUGCCAUCGGCCUUUCGCUUGCCACCUCCUUGGUUCCCCGGGUUAUGCUGAGGACCCUUGCCAUUGCCGUUCUUCUUUCCCUUCCCUGUCCUUUCAUCAUCUGAAGCGGGGUCCUUGGUACCAUCAGAAUCGGCGUAUUUGACGAGAGCCGCCAUCAGUGUACCCAUAUCAUUGCAGUCGCGCUUAAGCCGCCCGAGUUUCAUCUUCAAGGGCACGAAACGACAAUUCUGUUCCAACAUUAAGACUGCAGAGCCGGCAUCCAUCUUAUCAGAGGAAUGUAUUAUCUCCUUAACCCGGCGAACCCAAUGUGUCGUAGACUCACCCUCUUGCUGCUUACAGUUAGUCAAAUCCACAAUUGACAUAGACUGCCUACAGGUAUCCUUGAAGUUUUGGAUGAACCGGGCUUUCAGCUCAGCCCAAGACCCGAUGGAAUUCGGUGGUAGCCCUUUCAACCAAGUGCGGGCAGUCCCAUCUAACAUCAUGGUGAAGUACUUGGCCAUUGCCGCUUCACUGACCUCCAGCAGUUCCAUGGCCAUCUCGUAACUUUCGAUCCAGGCUGCAGGUUGUAAGUUAGCCGUGUAAUUAGGCACCUUCCUAGGGCCUUUGAAGUCCUUUGGUAGACGUUCUUGCGGAGAGCUGGCACUAAACAAGGGACACCUCCGGUCCUGGUAGGGAUACCCACGUCGACGGAAGUCGUCGGAUAAGCCGGGGGAGUCUGGUAAGCCGUCAACUGAGGCACCUGCUCCGCCUCUUGCCGCGCUCUGUCUUGGUCUGCUGCGUGAAAGGCUCCGUUAUGAGCCGGGCCAUGGCCAAGGGGCGGGUCAUGGCGUCGGACGUUACUUGAGCCGGUCGCUGAGACCAUGUGUCUGCUGUAACUCGGGCUCCGGCCUGGACGAGGGGUCGAGUGGAUCCUGUCCCGGCUGUAGGAGUACGCCUCUUGCUGCGCCAGUGCUGUCUGAAGGAGUUCCCUGACCCGGCGGGUUUCAACAGCCGUCGGAGAGUCGCCAUCAGUUGGGAGUGCCGCCAGCCGCGCUGCAGCGGCUACCAUGUUCUCCAGCGGGUUAGCAUAAUGACCCGGUGGUAUUGGCACAUACUGAGGCGGGGCAGGGCUCACCCGGGGAGGCCCCAUUACUUGUGGCUGAACAGGGUUCCCAGACCCGGGCACUAUGAUCCCUGGCGGGUUACUAGACCCUGCACCUGGCGUGCUGAAGAGGUUUCGGGGAUCGUAAACCGGAGGGAGUCGAGAUUGGGCCUUUUGAUGCCUCCUUCUCAUGACCUCAUUGGACGCGUUCUGAUCCAUCGUGAGCCGGAAGGACUGCGCCUGGAUCAACUGAGUUUGGGCGUCGAGAGCCGCCCUCUCCGCAGCCAUCCUGAUCCCUUCCGCUGCCAGAUCCUCCUUAGCUUUCACUAGAUCUAACUUUAACUGCGCCACCUCCACAUCAUGCUGAGCUUGAUCCGCCGGGUCAACCGCGGCGGUCAACAGGGCCGUCAUCUUGUCCGUCAGAUCCAUCAGCACCUGAGCCGGCGAGGGCACCGGGUUUCCUGCUCCAGCAGCAGGGUUCUGAACAGGCUGCGCACCGGCCAUGAAGAUUCCAACCCGGCUUGGCGGCUCAAACGGGUCCGGAAUACUGUCACCAUCGGAACAACCCAUGAGCCUGCCAUCUUGAAGCUGAUACAACGAGUUUCAUUCAUCGGUGGACGACUCGCCGUCAGAGCCGGCGGCCGUCUCAUCACCAGAUCCAGAUCUAUCAGAGAGCCCUCCAUGGAUACAUCCCACAAAAGCAUGCUUUAAGGCAGGCAGGGCCCGGGCGGGUCGUGCACGCUGAGCCGUCUUGAUGAGAUCGGCGCAGAGAUCCGGCUCAGGGCCCGGCUCACCAAUCUUGCCAAUGAAAACAUGAAUUCCGCCGAAGGGGACCCGGUACCCGUACUCAAUUGAGCCGGCGUCGGGGCCCCAGUUUGCAUCGUCGAUGUAGAGCUUGCCGCGACGACUCUUGGUCAUCCGGCCCACAGCGUAUCCCUUGAGCCCUUCGAAGCUGCCCUUCAAGAACUCAAAUCCACCGUGGGCUGGCCCCACGGUGGGCGCCAACUAUCGUGGAAUUGUCACGGCAGAUGUCCUCAAGCUAGGACUUAGUCGUGGAGCCAUCGCCGCUAGGAAGCUUGAAGGGGUUAACGGGACAAGGAACACGAGGGUUUAUACUGGUUCGGCCCCUUACGGUGAAGGUAAAAGCCUACGUCCGGUUGAGGUGGUAUUGAUUAGGGUUUCGAUGACCAGGGAGCUUAACUGUUAUGCCCGGCUCUCGAUGAGAUCUUUCUUGUCCCUAAACCGCUGCCGGGUCGUCCCUUUAUAUAGGGAGGCUGACGCCCAGUAGCUCUCAGAGUCCCGGCCGGCUCAUAAGAGUGUCCGGCUCGGACUCUCAACUAUUCUUGCCUUACACUACAAGUUCUACCAUAAUGACGGUUGUAACUACGGGCCUUAAGCCAUAUCCGGGUCUUAAGCCCAUCUUUGGCCCACCGUCUUCAAGCUUGUCGCCGGGCUUCUGGCGAUGACCAUUAUGAGUAACCCGACCCCUUCUGGCGGGUGACUCUAAGGUCUAUAUCCUCAACAACGACCAUUACGGAAUGAAGGAGAUUUUACCGUGCAUCUGAAUAAUGGAAACUACAACAGUUGAAGACUCCGAAGACUAGGAGAAUUUGAAGGCUCUGAAGAAUUCCCAGAUUUUUUAUGACCUAGUAAGGCUACCCUUAUGGAACUUGGCAGACUAUGGAAGUUGUCAAUACCCGAGAUCAAGGUGUAUCGGAGAAAGACCGGAGCAUGGAGAGUUAAAAAAACUCAAAGUUCUGUCAAGGAAAACCCUAAGGCAGGAGAUAUCAACUAUGGAGAGAUAGCUCAUGGAAAUGACAAGAGCAGAAACACGGCUAUCCAUGAUGUUAUCGCCUGCUUAUGCUAUUGUCACCGUGCUGAGUUAAGCAUGCAUAUGCAUGGAAGGAUUGGAUGGUAGAAGGCUGAUGGAGCACCUAUCAGCAAGAUGAAGUUUUAACCUUAGCCGGUGUAUCACCAGGAUCUGGAGUGUUACAUCAAGAAGUUAAGAUGGAGCUACAAGAAGCCGUAUUUGAAAGGAAGCAUUUCAUGAAGAACUCAGGACCUAGAAGCUGAAAGUAGCCAAGCUGGAGGAGCAAAAUUUCGAGAUACCGGAGAUUCGUCAGGAACCGAAGGACAGUAGGACCAUGGUUCAUGCCAAGGAUGUUGAAACCCGGAAGUUUGGAACGCAACUCCAAAAUAUUGAAGGACGUCACGAGAGAAUUCUCGUCAACAGAGAUGAUAUGGCAAAAGAGCUUGAGAAGGACAAGCACGAUCGGAAGAAGCCAUCGGAGACAUGAACAAGAAUCGAAGAGUUUGGCGACUUUGAAGAUUUAUUGACCUUUAGAAGACCAAACCCCUGUUAUACACUUAUGUUAGAUGCGACGUUUGUGAGCUGUCAUUUGUUUGAUGUUUUUCCGACAGCCACAAAAUAAAACCUGUCUUUUCAAAACUAUUGUUUGUAUUGUGUGUAUCUCUCUCUAUCUCUCUUAUCCCACCCCAAACCCAUGGACCCAAUAGAGGACAAAUAGAGAUGAGCUUAUAUUUUGUGGACCGAUGAGUCAAUUGGAGACGGACCAAUGGAUUCAGAACAUGGAGGAUCACAUGAAGAAUAACCCUAUAGCCGGAAAAGAUAUGGCCCAGCAUGCUCUUCAGUGUUUUGAAAGAGGUGCUGCUACUUGGUGGAGGAUGUACCAAACCAUCAACGGAUGGAAAGGAGUAACCACUUGGAAAGAAUUUAAGUUGACUUUGCCAAAGUCUUGGCUUGUGUCCCAGAAAUUGAGGCCUUAUGGAAAGGAUAUGAAGAAACCUUGUGCAUACAAGCUUUGUGGAGAAAUAGGACACAACCAUAAAUAAAACAAGGACGAAUACCCUCAUAAGCGGAGGAUUGCCAAAGGAGUGAGCCGAGGAUCUCAGGGAACUUCGGUUGGAGAUUGUUCCCAAGGGUUUUGUUGCAGCAAUGGAAGUUCAGUCUACAUUGUUGGGAAAGAUCCGUGAAGCUCAGAAGAAUGACAAAGAGAUUGCUGAGGUAAAAGAGAGGAUGAGCAAAGGAAAGGCCAAAGGUUUUCGUAAGGAUGAGCACGACACCUUAUGGUUCGAGGACCGUGUAUAUGUGCCCAAUAAUGCAAUGAUCAGGAAGUUAAUACUUCAGGAGGCUCAUGACUCACCAUACUCGAUUCGCCCUGGAAACACCAAGAUGUAUUUGGAUUUGAAGGAGCGUUUCUGGUGGACUGUAUGAAGAAGGAUAUUGCGGAGUAUGUAGUCAUAGGUUAUGUAUGCCAGAGAGUAAAGGCAGAGUAUCAGAAGCCAGCCGGAUUACUACAGCCUAUGCCGAUACCCGAAUGGAAGUAGGAUAAGCUUGGUAUGGAUUCCAUUACCGGAUUUCCCAGAACCCGAUCGGGAUAUGAUUCUAUCUGGGUAGUAGUUGAUUCGCUUGACCAAAGUGGCUCACUUUAUCCCAGUGAAAACCACCUAUACAAGUGCGAAGUUGGCCAAGAUAUAUAUGACCAGGACCGUAUGUCUGCAUGGAGUUCCGAGGACCAUCGUAUCAGAUAGAGGAACACAGUUUACCUCAAAGUUUUGGAAUUAGCUGCACCAGGCUUUGGGUACUAGGCUAGAGUUCAGUAUAGCCUUCCAUCCGCAGACAGAUGGAUAGACCGAGAGAGUCAAUCAGAUUCUGGAGGACAUGUUGAGAGCGUGUGCGCUAGAUUAUGGAUCUAGUAGGGAUGAUAAUCUACCUUACGCAGAGUUCUCAUACAACAACAGUUACCAAGCCAGUUUGAAGAUGGCCCCUUUUGAAGCUUUGUAUGGGAGAAGGAGCCAGACACCGUUGAUGUGGGAUGAAGUUGGAGACGGUCAGUUGUUUGGACCAAAUGUGAUCAAGGAGUCAGAAGAGAAUGUUAAGUUGAUUCGAGAUAGACUGAAGGUAGCUCAGUCCAGGCAGAAGAGUUAUGCAGACUGAAAAACGCAAGGAGGUAGUCUAUGAAAUUGGAGACAGAGCAUAUCUUCGUGUGUCCCCUCUGCGAGGAGUUAAACGAUUUGGAGUUAAGGGAAAGUUAGCCCCGAGAUUUGUAAUACCAUACCGAGUUUUGGAGCGUAUGGGAGAAGUGGCCAACAAGUUGGAGUCACCCGAAGGACUGUCAGGAGUUCAUGAUGUGUUUCACGUUUCCCAGUUGAAGAAGUGCCAUGCAUAGAUGGCCAAUAUUCCCCUAUAAGGACGCUUGACCCUGGAAAGGAUAAUGAUGUUCCACGAAGUGGAGUAUGGACUUCAUAAGUAUAAGUUUUUAUCUCGGUAGGUGGGAUAUCCCACGAGGAUGAAGAGAUGAAUUACUAUUGGAUAUAAAGGAGGUAUGAUGUUGGAAAUAUGGAUCAAUGGAAAUUCCAUGAUGAGUCUGAGUAAUCAUGUCCUAGUUUGGUUCCAAUAGAAGGAAGGAAGACAGUACAAUUGGAUGGAUUUAAGAAUACUAGGAAGUCGGAAGUUGGAAUAAUGAUCAGUUGCGCGAGGAUAAGUUCAAGGACUACAAGUGAUGAGAUGGUCCAUAACCCACAGGCCCCAGGACCUGCCAAGAAGCAAGCACAUUCUUGCUGAAGGAAAAACCCUGGAAGAAGUUACGAUUUUAUCGACAGACGAUCUUAUAGGAGUUACGCAAAACCUGAGGGUUGGGAUGGAACGAUAGAUGUUUGUUUGGCUUGCAGAAUCCAUGGAUUUAUCCGAACUUGGUUUGUCGACAAGAGAAAUUCUGCAAUGCUUGUGAGGAUGACCGAGUGUUAGAAUACGAGAUUCGCUAAACCAUAUACAAGGUAAUGAUUUGGGUGCGGGAUGGAUUGAUCACCAUACCGACUUACUCUUAUUGUUCGCCUUGCUAUAUGGGAUGGUAAAUCUGAGUGACUUACCUAUAGUAGAGAGACGAUGAUAUUAAACCUUGUUUAAACCUUAGAAUGCUAUAAGUAUUUUUCCCUUGUACAAGGCAGCUGUGCCAAUCGUAGGAUAUACGAUGAGGUUCAGCGAGACCCAUUUUCCUGCAGGAGAAACCAUAAAUUGUUGACCACCAUGAGAUGUCGAUAGUUGUUUAGUAUGGGUGUCAGACUCGUCAUCUCAGAAGACCCAGUCUUGGAAUAACCUUACCAAGAAGAAAGGAUACAGAAGAAUUGAGGAAAAGGUUAUGCCGCUACCAGAAGGGCCAGAGAAGGAAUUUUCCCGAGAAUCUGAGAAGACCGACCCCGUCAACAAAAAGGAUGGAGUAUAUAAGUUUUGAUAGAACUGUAACCAUGUUUCUAAGGGUGGUAGCACCCCAGACCCCCCUGUGAUGAUCGAUGGAUUUUGAGAAGACCCCAAACCUAACCUAUUCCUUGCUAGCCUCUCCGAAUCUCGAGGACGAGAUUCAUUUUAAGGGUGGUAGGUUUGUAACAUCCCAAAAUUCUAAAUUUUGAAAUGUUAUAAUAAACAGAUAGAUUGGAUUGAUUGUUUGAUUGAUUGACUGAAAGUGAGUGAAUUCAAAAUCUUUUGAAAGUUAAAUGAGAGGGAAUAAAAGGACUUUCCCAAACUUUCAUUUUUCUUUUAUGAUCUCCAUGAAUUCAAAUUCUUUUCAUCAUAAAACCCUGGAGAGAAGAUGACAUGACUUCUUCCAUUUAUUUAAAUGAAAAGGGGUGUUGAAAAUAUUUGAAUACCAUUUGAAAAUAUUUCCAAUUCAGAAACUUCAAGCAACUCAAUGAUUUUCAUGAGAAAAGAUAAAAUGACUUCUUCAAAACAUAUGAAAUAUGAGUUGGAAGUUUAAAAGGAUCUAAUUUAAAGUCCUUUUGGAAAUUAUUUUCAAUUUGGAGUAUUUGGGUUUUAUUAAAAUUAUUUUUCUCCAAAAUAAAAAUAUAUGGAAAAUAGGGUAACAUGAUUCCCUACAAUAGAAAAUUGGAGAAAAUUAAUUUGAAAUCAUUUUGGUAUUUUUAAAAUGAUUUUAUGAGGUUUUAUUGCAGCAGUAGCACUCUUUGCUUUAUUUUAAUUUUUGUAUAUUUUAUUUGACGCUAGAAUAAUGUUCAUGUUGUAGAAAAUAUUUUUCUGAAAAUUUUGAUAUAUAAUAUGCCUAUAUAAAUAAUUUAUUUUAUUUUUUCUUUAUUUGGUUUUCCUUCUGUUUCUAUUUAAAAACAAAUAACAAAAACUGUACAUGUGGCCCAUCACUAACUGCCGCCCAGGUGCACAUCAUAGUACUAGCGGGCGCCCCAUCUUUUUUUUUCUUUUCCUAUAUGGGUCAGGCCCAGCCAGCGUUUUCAUUCUUUUUCUUCGGCCGAAUUUUGUUUUAAAAAAAUGCAGCUGCGCGGCCGGUCGAACCGCCUUACGCGUUUAGGCCCAUGCGACGCGCCUUCUCUAUUUCGUUUUCUUUCAUCUACGUACAUAUAUGUUUAGUCCCACAUUGCCUAGCCUUUGACCCCUAAACCUCUUUUCCAUCUAUAAAUAUAGACCCAUAGAGCCUCCAAAAAUCAUCCGAUUCGGGUUAAAUCAAUAUUUUGGUUUGACUAGACUCCUUAAAAAAAUAUUUUUUCCUCUCCCACGCGACUUUUGGGAAUUGUCUCCUCUUUCCGAAGUCAUCUUUUCUCUGCCUUAUAAAGGUAUCUUUCUUUUUUUUUCUUUUUAUACUCCCGUAGUUUAUUAUUUCUAGACUAAUACGAUAAAAUAAUUAGAUUAUCAAUUAGUCUACGUAUUUAUACAUUAGACCUUAGUCGUAGCUAUUUUUUUCUCUCCGUAAAACAGCUUGGGCCUGAUUUUUCGAAUAGCCAUAACUUUUCACUCGUUUAUCCAAAUUAGAUGAAACCAGCGCUUAUAGCUUCGUCUUGUUUUCACCUAUCCAGUGAACCUGUCACAUCAACUUUUUGAAAUUUUCAAAUUUCGAAAUUUGUUCAGAUUCAUAUUCAAACUUCGUUUGAUCGUAACUUGAGUUUCGUAGCUCCGUUGGAGUUGAUUCUUUUUGCAAACCGAAGCUCUUGACUUAAACUUUCUGAUAAGGCUAAAUUCACAUAAUUUUGGUACUUUUAGAAAUUGUUUUAUGUUGCAAGAGUUAUUUUCUUGGUUUGAUGUUUUCCGAAGUGUCUUCUUUGUUCUUUCCGAUCUUUUGAGUGAUUGCUUAUGUGUGGUUACUAUUGCUUGCUUACGAUAGAUUGACCGGAGUGUGACGAGUAGAACUAUCAAGAGUUUUGAGUGCGAAUCAUCUUCAUCAACAUUGCAGGCAAGUUCACACUUUGAUCAUAUCCCUUUUACUACCCAGUUUUUAUGCAUUAGUUUCACCCUCAAACAUUACAUGAGUAGGAUUGAUAACAUGUGGGUAUUGAAAAGUAGUUGAUGAGGUAGGAACCUAUUGCCCUACAUUCAAACCUUGGGAGUUACUAUUACUUUAUGCUUAUAUUGCCAUGCUAUGCUCGUAGACGUGGAUUGGGUUUGAGUGUAUUCAUGACAGAUGUGAGUAUUGUUAAUUAAUGGUUCAACUUAAGGUGGCAACUUUAAUACACAUCUGGGUGGAUUGAGGCACCUGGGGAAUUCCAGUGAUUGCCUGUAUUUUUGGAAAUCCUGGGGUACCGUGUGAUUCUCCUAUGGACUGCCACCCAGGCUCAAAGGAUCAUAAGAUUAUUCAUGCUAGAAACUUCCGUGUGGAGCCACAAGCUAUUAUGGGCUCUAGCAUAGUUGAUUAAGUUGUGUGAACUGUUACAGUGGUAGACUAGCAGAUGUAGGGGAUGUAGGUGUACCGGUCUACCCAUCGUAAGGUGCUAACGCUUCUGAAAGACUGUGUCUCGGUCAUCCGUUUCUCAAACAUUUUGUAGUGCGAGAAAUCCAAUGGAGGAGAUCGAGUCUUGUGGGGAAAAGUGCACAAACCUCUGCAGAGUGUACAAACUAAUCAUGGUUAGCCGUGUCCCCGGUUAUGGACAUCUUGAGUAUCUGGUUCUUGGAUUAUCAUAUUGAUCUCAUCACGUUACUUAAAUAAUUUGUUGGGUUGUUAACUUUUUAAUUGGGAUUGAGAGGGGGUUUACCUUCUCAGUGUUUUCAACAAACUUUGUAUUUAAAUAAAAUAUAUUCCUUUGCAGUAGGGAAAAAUUGGCUUUUCGCAAAAACAUUAUAACCAUAGAGCUUUUCCACCAGCCAUAUAUGCAUGUAGUGAUAGCCAUUAUUCAUCAUUGCUCUACAGUGUGAAUUUGCCAGUACAUUCAAUGUACUGACCCUUUGUGGCUGCAACGUCUCAUGUUGCAGGACUUCUUACGACGAGUAAGUGAUACGUUAGGGUUACGAUUUCUACACUCAACUUUGCCGUUGGUGUUGAUGGGAUACUUCCGCUAUUUGGAUUGAGGUAAUAGUAUUUACAUUAUUUUAUACAUGUGAUUUACCUCUGUUAUAAAUCCUCGAGUACUGUGUGUGUCAGCAUACCGAUCCGGGGAUGACACUUAAGCACAGAGACUUGACCGUCUGAGGUCGGGUCGCUACACAACUAGGGCUGUCUAUAUCUUCCAUGCUAGGUGGGUUAUUCUCACGAGGAGUGGACUCCGCUCCUCACUCACGAGAAAAUGGCCGGUAACCGGGAUGCCCAGUCCCAUGCUCAAACCAAAUCAAAAUAAUUGUAAACAAAACUCCCCCAGGACUAUUGUUAGUUGGAGGCACCCGUUGUUUCGCGCAAGCCAUGGAUUGAUGCUUGUUGGUGGUGGGGGAGUAUAAACUUUACCAUUCUAUUUGGGAACCGUCUAUAAUGUGUGUGGCAUGGAAGAUAUCGAGAUCUCUCGGUUGUUAUGUUGACAAUGAAAGUAUGCCACUCAAAAUAUUAUUUAUCUCUAUUUCAAAAAUCGAACUCUGGCACCUCUACAAAUCCCUGCUUCCCUCUGCGAAGGGCCUAUCUAUUUACUUUUAUGUUGAGUCAUCAUCCUCUUAUUAAAAAGCACCAGUUGGAGAGCACUGCUGUCAUUUGCAUACAUUACUAUUAGUUUACAUUGAGUAUGACUGGAUCUCUUUUACCAUGAAUUACAAUGUCUAGUCAGUCCUUGAUCUUCCGAGGUGCUCUGCAUUUUAUGUUUUGUGGUCUCAGAAAGGGCUAGCGAGAUACCAUCUUGUUAUAUCAUAUUAUGAUUGUUUUGAGAAAGUGUUGUCAUCCGAGAUUUAUUAUUGUUGCUCGCUAGUUGAUUAGGCCAUUGAUAUGAGUAAACAUGAGACCUAAUGUUAUUGUGAAUAUGGUUAGUUCAUAAUCUUUGCUGAAAACUUGAAUGCUGGCUUUACAUAUUUCAACAACAAGAGCAAACAGAGUUUGUAAAAGUACUUCUUUAUCACUUUCAGUUUGUCAACUGAAUUGCUUGAGGACAAGCAGGUUUAAGCUUGGGGGAGUUGAUACGUCUCCAACGUAUCUACUUUUCCAAACACAUUUGCCCAUGUUUUGGACCCUAACUUGCAUGAUUUGAAUGGAACUAACCCGGACUGACGCUGUUUUCAGCAGAACUGUCAUGGUGUUAUUUUUGUGCAGAAAUAAAAGUUCUCGGAAUGACCUGAAACUUCACAGAGAAUAUUUUUGGAAUUUAUAAAAAAUACUGGCGAAAGAAUCAACACCAGGGGGCCCACACCCUAUCCACGAGGGUGGAGGGCGCGCCCACCCCCCUGGGGCGCGCCCCCCGCCUCGUGGGCCCCCUGAGGCUCCACCGGCGUCAACUCCAACUCUAUAUAUUCACGUUUGGGGAGAAAAAAACCAGAGAGAAGGAUUCAUCACGUUUUACGAUACGGAGCCGCCGCCAAGCCCUAAUCUCUCUCGGGAGGGCUGAUCUGGAGUCCGUUCGGGGCUCCGGAGAGGGGAAUCUGUCGAUGUCGUCAUCAUCAACCUUCCUCCAUCACCAAUUUCAUGAUGCUCACUGCUCUGCGUGAGUAAUUCCAUCGUAGGCUUGCUGGACGGUGAUGGGUUGGAUGAGAUUUAUCAUGUAAUCGAGUUGGUUUUGUUAGGGUUUGAUCCCUAGUAUCCAUUAUGUUCUGAGAUUGAUGUUGCUAUGACUUUGCUAUGCUUAAUGCUUGUUACUAGGGCCCGAGUGCCAUGAUUUCAGAUCUGAACCUAUUAUGUUUUCAUGAAUAUAUGUGAGUUCUUGAUCCUAUCUUGCAAGUCAUUAGUCACCUACUAUGUGUUAUGAUCCGGUAACCCUCAAGUGACAAUAAUCGGGACCACUCCCGGUGAUGACCGUAGUUUGAGGAGUUCAUGUAUUCACUAAGUGUUAAUGCUUUGGUCCGGUACUCUAUUAAAAGGAGGCCUUAAUAUCCCUUAGUUUCCAAUAGGACCCCGCUGGCACGGGAGGGUAGGACAAAAGAUGUCAUGCAAGUUCUUUUCCAUAAGCACGUAUGACUAUAUUCAGAAUACAUGCCUACAUUACAUUGAUGAACUGGAGCUAGUUAUGUGUCACCCUAUCUUAUAACUGUUGCAUGAGGAAUCGCAUCCGACAUAUUUAUCCAUCACUGAUCCAUUGCCUACGAGCUUUUCACAUAUUGAUCUUUGCUUAGUUACUUUUCCCUUGCCACUGUAACAAUUACUACAAAACUGCUACUGUUACUUCUGCCACAGUUACCGUUACUUCCAUACUACUUUGCUACUAAAUACUUUGCUGCAGAUAUUAAGUCUUCCAGGUGUGGUUGAAUUGACAACUCAACUGCUAAUACUUGAGAAUAUUCUUUGGCUCCCCUUGUGUCGAAUCAAUAAAUUUGGGUUGAAUACUCUACCCUCGAAAACUGUUGCGAUCCCCUAUACUUGUGGGUUAUCAGGGCGCGGCCUCCCUUGAGGCCCUCCUCUCCUUUCCACUAAGGCCCAUGAAGGCCCAUGAACUUCCCAGGGGGGUUCCGGUAAUCCCCGGUACUCCGAAACUCAUCCGAAACAACCCGAAACAUUCCUCCGAAUGCAACCUUCCAAUAUAUGAAUCUUUAUGUCUCGACCAUUUCGAGACUCCUCGUCAUGUCCGUGAUCUCAUCCGGGACUCCGAACAAACUUCGGUCAUCAAAUCACAUAACUCAUAAUACAAAUCGUCAUCGAACGUUAAGCGUGCGGACCCUACGGGUUCGAGAACUAUAUAUACAUGACCGAGACACAUCUCAGGUCAAUAAUCAAUAGCGGAACCUGGAUGCUCAUAUUGGCUCCUACAUAUUACGAAGAUCUUUAUCGGUCAAACCGCAUAACAACAUACGUUAUUCCCUUUGUCAUCAGUAUGGUACUUGCCCGAGAUUCGAUCGUCGGUAUCAUCAUACCUAGUUCAAUCUCGUUACCGGCAAGUCCCUUUACUCGUUCCGUAAUGCAUCAUCCCGCAACUAACUCAUUAGUCACAUUGCUUGCAAGGCUUACAGUGAUGAGCAUUACCUAGAGGGCCCAGAGAUACCUCUCCGAAACAUGGAGUGACAAAUCCUAAUCUCGAUCUAUGCCAACUCAACAAGCACCAUCGGAGACACCUGUAGAGCAUCUUUAUAAUCACCCAUUUAUGUUGUGACGUUUGAUAGCACACAAGGUGUUCCUCCGGUAUUCGGGAGUUGCAUAAUCUCAUAGUCAGAGGAACAUAUAUAAGUCAUGAUGAAAGCAAUAGCAAUAAAACUUAAAUGAUCAUUAAUGCUAAGUUAACGGAUGGGUCUUGUCCAUCACAUCAUUCUCUAAUGAUGUGAUCCCGUUCAUCAAAUGACAACACAUGUCUAUGGUCAGGAAACUUAACCAUCUUUGAUUAACGAGCUAGUCUAGUAGAGGCAUACUAGGGACACUCUGUUUGUCUAUGUAUUCACACAUGUACUAAGUUUCCGGUUAAUACAAUUCUAGCAUGAAUAAUAAACAUUUAUCAUGAUAUAAGGAAAUAUAAAUAACAACUUUAUUAUUGCCUCUAGGUCAUAUUUCCUUCAGUCUCCCACUUGCACUAGAGUCAAUAAUCUAGAUUACAUAGUAAUGAUUCUAACACCCAUGGAGUCCUUGUGCUGAUCAUGUUUUGCUCGUGGAAGAGGCUUAGUCAACGGGUCUGCAACAUUCAGAUCCGUAUGUAUUUUGCAAACUUCUAUGUCUCCCUCCUUGACUAGAUCACGGAUGGAAUUGAAGCAUCUCUUGAUGUGCUUGGUUCUCUUGUGAAAUCUGGAUUCCUUUGCCAAGGCUAUUGCUCCAGUAUUGUCACAAAAGAUUUUUAUUGGACCCGCUGCACUAGGUAUUACACCUUGAUCGAAUAUGAACUCCUUCAUCCAGACUCCUUCAUUUGCUGCUUCCGAAGCAGCUAUGUACUCCACUUCACACGUAGAUCCCGCCACGACGCUCUGUUUGGAACUACACCAACUGACAGCUCCACCAUUCAAUAUAAAUAUGUAUCCGGUUUGUGAUUUAGAGUCAUCCGGAUCAGAGUCAAAGCUUGCAUAGACGUAACCAUUUACGAUGAGCUCUCUGUCACCUCCAUAAACGAGAAACAUAUCCUUAGUACUUUUCAGGUAUUUCAGGAUGUUCUUGACCGCUUUCCAGUGAUCCACUCCUGGAUUACUUUGGUACCUACCUGCUAAACUAAUAGCAAGUCACACAUCAGGUCUGGUACACAACAUUGCAUACAUGAUAGAACCUAUGGCUGAUGCAUGGGGAAUGACUUUCAUUUUCUCUCUAUCUUCUGCAGUGGUUGGGCAUUGAGUCUGACUCAACUUCACACCUUGUAACAUAGGCAAGAACCCUUUCUUUGACCGAUCCAUUUUGAACAUCUUCAAAACUUUAUCAAGGUAUGUGCUUUGUGAAAGUCCAAUUAAGCAUCUUGAUCUAUCUCUAUAGUGUUGGGGAACACAGUAUUUCAAAAAAAUUCCUACGAUCACGCAAGAUCUAUCUAGGAGAUGCAUAGCAACGGGACGGGGAGUGUGUCCAUGUACCCUCGUAGACCGAAAGCGGAAGAGUUUAGUAACGCGGUUGAUGUAGUCGAGCGUCUUCGCGAUUCAACCUAUCCAAGUACAGAACGUACGGCACCUCCGUGUUCAUCACACGUUCAGCUCGAUGACAUCCCUCGAGCUCUUGAUCCAGUUGUGGACGAGGGAGAGUUCAUCAGCACGACGGCGUGGCGACGGUGAUGAUGAAGUUACCGGCGCAGGGCUUCGCCUAAGCACUACGACGAUAUCACCGAGGUGUGUAACUGUGGAGGGGGGCACCACACACGGCUAAGAGAAGACUUGGUGUGCCCCCUGCCCACGUAUAUAAAGGAGGGAGGGAGGGAGGCCGGCCCUCUAGGGGCGUGCCAAAAGUAUGGAGUCCUACUAGGACUUCCAAGUCCUAGUAGGAAUCCCUUUCCUUUUCGGAGUAGGAGAGAAGGAAAGAGGCAAAGAGAGAGGGAGUAAGAAAAGGCAAGGGGGCGCCGCCCCCUUCCCCUAGUCCAAUUCGGACCCAUGGGGGGGCACCUCCUCUUGGCCUGCCUCCUCUUUUCCAGUAUGGCCCAAUAAGGCCCAUUACUGCUCCCAAUGAAUUCCCGUAACUCCCCGGGACUUUGAAAAAUACCCGAAUCACUCGGAACCUUUCCGAUGUCCGAAUAUAGCCUUCCAAUAUAUGAAUCUUUACCUCUCGACCAUUUUGAGACUCCUCGUCAUGUCCGUGAUCUCAUCAGUACUCCGAACAUACUGCGGUCAUCAAAUCACAUAACUCAUAAUACAAAUCGUCGUCAAACGUUAAGCGUGCGGACCCUACGGGUUCGAGAACUAUGUGGACAUGACCGAGACACUUCUCCGGUCAAUAACCAAUAGCGGAACCUGGAUGCUCAUAUUGGCUCCUACAUAUUCUACGAAGAUCUUUAUUGGUCAAACCGCAUAACAACAUACGUUGUUCCCUUUGUCAUCCGUAUGUUACUUGCCCGAGAUUCGAUCGUUGGUAUCCUCAUACCUAGUUCAAUCUCGUUACCAGCAAGUCUCUUUACUCGUUCCGUAAUGCAUCAUCCCGCAACUGACUCGUUAGUCACAUUUCUUGCAAGGCUUAUAGUGAUGUGCAUUAUCGAGAGGCCCCAGAGAUACCUCUCCGAUACACGGAGUGACAAAUCCUAAUCUCGAUCUAUGCCAACUCAACAAACACCUUCGGAGACACCUAUAGAGCAUCUUUAUAAUCACCCAGUUACGUUGUGACGUUUGAUAGCACACAAGGUGUUCCUCCGGCAUUCGGGAGUUGCAUAAUCUCAUAGUUAGAGGAACAUGUAUAAGUCAUGAAGAAAGCAAUAGCAAUAAAACUAAACGAUCAUUAUGCUAAGCUAACGGAUGGGUCUUGUCCAUCACAUCAUUCUCCUAAUGAUGUGAUCCCGUUCAUCAAAUGACAACACAUGUCCAUGGUCAGGAAACUUAACCAUCUUUGAUGAAUGAGCUAGUCAAGUAGAGGCAUACUAGGGACACUCUGAUUUAUCUAUGUACUCACACAUGUAUCAAGUUUCCGGUUCAUACAAUUCUAGCAUGAAUAAUAAACAUUUAUCAUGAUAUAUGGAAAUAUGAAUAACAUCUUUCUUAUUGCCUCUAGAGCAUAUUUCCUUCAUAUAGAUCUUGAUGCCUAAUAUAUAAGCAGCUUCACCGAGGUCUUUCAUUGAAAAAUUCUGAUUCAAGUAUCCUUUUAUGCUAUUCAGAAGUUCAGUAUCAUUUCCGAUCAAAAAUAUGUCAUCCAUAUAUAAUAUCAAAAAUGCUACAGAGCUCCCACUCACUUUCUUGUAAAUACAGGCUUCUCCAAAAGUGUGUAUAAAACCAUAUGCUUUGAUCACACUAUCAAAGCGUAUAUUCCAACUCCGAGAGGCUUGCACCAGUCCAUAAAUGGAUCGCUGGAGCUUGCACACUUUGUUAGCACCUUUUGGAUCGACAAAACCUUCUGGUUGCAUCAUAUACAACUCUUCUUUAAGGUAUCCAUUAAAGAAUGCAAUUUUGACAUCCAUUUGCCAAAUUUCAUAAUCAUAAAAUGCGGCAAUUGCUAACAUGAUUCAGACUGACUUAAGCAUUGCUACGGGUGAGAAGGCCUCAUCGUAGUCAACUCCAUGAACUUGUCGAAAACCUUUCGCAACAAGUCGAGCUUUGCAGAUAGUAACAUUACCGUCAGCGUUAGUCUUCUUCUUGAAAAUCCAUUUAUUCUCUCUAUUGCUUGCCGAUCAUCGGGCAAGUCAACCAAAGUCCAUACUUUGUUCUCAUACAUGGAUCCCAUCUCAGAUUUCAUGGCCUCAAGCCAUUUCGCGGAAUCUUGGCUCAUCAUCGCUUCCUCAUAGUUCAUAGGUUCCUCAUGGUCAAGUAACAUGACUUCCAGAACAGGAUUACCUUACCACUCUGGUGUGGAUCUUACUCUGGUUGACCUACGAGGUUCAAUAGUAACUUGAUCAGAAGUUUCAUGAUCAUUAUCAUUAGCUUCCUAACUAAUUGGUGUAGGAAUCACUAGAACUGAUUUCUGUGAUGAACUACUUUCCAAUAAGGAGCAGGUACAAUUACCUCAUCAAGUUCUACUUUCCUCCCAAUCACUUCUUUUGAGAGAAACUCCUUCUCUAGAAAGGAUCCAUUCUUAGCAACGAAUAUCUUGCCUUUGGAUAUGUGAUAGAAGGUGUACCCAACAGUCUCCUUUGGGUAUCAUAUGAAGACACAUUUCUCCGAUUUGGGUUCGAGCUUAUCAGGUUGAAGCUUUUUCACAUAAGCAUCGCAACCCCAAACUUUAAGAAACGACAACUUGGGUUUCUUGCCAAACCACAGUUCAUAUGGUGUCGUCUCAACGGAUUUAGAUGGUGCCCUAUUUAACGUGAAUGCAGCCGUCUCUAAAGCAUAACCCCAAAAUGAUAUCGGUAAAUCAGUAAGAGACAUCAUAGAUCGCACCAUAUCCAAUAAAGUACGGCUACAAAGUUCGGACACACCAUUACGCUGUGGUGUUCCAAGUGGCGUGAGUUGCGAAACUAUUCUGCACUGUUUCAAAUGAAGGCCAAACUCAUAACUCAAAUAUUCACCUCCACGAUCAGAUCGUAGAAACUGUAUUUUCAUGUUACGAUGAUUUUCCACUUCACUCUGAAAUUCUUUGAACUUUUCAAAUGUUUCAGACUUAUGCUUCAUCAAGUAGAUAUACCCAUAUCUGCUCAAAUCAUCUGUGAAGGUAAGAAAAUAACGAUACCUGCCGUGAGCCUCAACACUCAUCGGACCGCAUACAUCAGUAUGUAUUAUUUCCAACAAGUCUGUUGCUCGCUCCAUUGUUCCGGAGAACGGAGUCUUAGUCAUCUUGACCAUGAGGCAUGAUUCGCAAGCAUCAAGUGAUUCAUAAUCAAUUGAUUCCAAAAGCCCAUCAGCAUGGAGUUUCUUCGUGCGCUUUACACCAAUAUGACCUAAACGGCAGUGCCACAAAUAAGUUGCACUAUCAUUAUUAAACUUAUAUCUUUUGGCUUCAAUAUUAUGAAUAUGUGUAUCUCUACUGUCGAGAUUCAACAAAAAUAGACCACUCAUCAAGGGUGCAUGAACAUAAAAGAUAUUACUCAUAUAAAUAGAACAACCAUUAUUCUCUGAUUUAAUUGAAUAACCAUCUCACAUCAAACAAGAUCCAGAUAUAAUGUUCAUGCUUAACGCUGGCACCAAAUAACAAUUAUUCAGGUCUAAAACUAAUCCCGAAGGUAGAUGUAGAGGUAGCGUGCCGACGGUGAUCACAUCGACUUUGGAACCAUUUCCCACGCGCAUCGUCACCUCGUCCUUAGCCAAUCUUUGUUUAAUCCGUAGCCCCUGUUUCGAGUUGCAAAUAUGAGCAAUCGAACCAGUAUCACAUACCCAGGCGCUACUAUGAGCAUUAGUAAGGUACACAUCAAUGACAUGUAUAUCAAAUAUACCUUUCACUUUGUCAUCCUUCUUAUCCGCCAAAUACUUGGGGCAGUUCCGCUUCCAGUGACCAGUCCCUUUGCAGUAGAAGCACUCAGUUUCAGGCUUAGGUCCAGACUUGGGCUUCUUCACUUGAGCAGCAACUUGCUUGCUGUUCUUGUUGAAGUUCCCCUUCUUCCCUUUGCCCUUUUUCUUGAAGCUAGUGGUCUUGUUAACCAACAACUUGAUGCUCCUUCUUGAUUUCUACCUCCGCAGCCUUUAGCAUUGCGAAGAGCUCGGGAAUUGUCUUAUCCAUCCCUUGCAUAUUAUAGUUCAUCACGAAGCUUUUAUAGCUUGGUGGCAGUGAUUGAAGAACUCUGUCAAUGACACUAUCAACAAGAAGAUUAACUCGCAGUUGAGUCAAGUGGUUGUGGUACCAGACAUUCUGAGUAUAUGUUCACUGACAGAACUAUUCUCCUCCAUUUUGCAGCUGUGGAACUUAUUGGAGACUUCAUAUCUCUCAAUCCGGGCAUUUGCUUGAAAUAUUAACUUCAACUCCUGGAACAUCUCAUAUGAUCCAUGACGUUCAAAACAUCGUUGAAGUCCCGGUUCUAAGACAUAAAGCAUGGCACACUGAACUAUCGAGUAGUCAUCAGCUUUGCUCUGCCAGACGUUCAUAACAUCUGGAGUUGCUCCUGCAGCAGGUCUUGCACCUAGCGGUGCUUCCAGGACGUAAUUCUUCUAUGCAGCAAUGAGGAUAAUCCUCAAGUUGCGGACCCAGUCCGUGUAGUUGCUACCAUCAUCUUUCAACUUAGCUUUCUCUAGGAACGCAUUAAAAUUCAAAGGAACGGUAGCAUGGGCCAUUGAUCUACAACAACAUAGACAUGCAAAAUACUAUCAGGUACUAAGUUCAUGAUAAACUAAAGUUCAAUUAAUCAUAUUACUUAAGAACUCCCACUUAGAUAGACAACCCUCUAGUCAUCUAAAUGAUCACGUGAUCCAAAUCAACUAAACCAUGUCCGAUCAUCACGUGAGAUGGAGUAGUUUUCAAUGGUGAACAUCACUAUGUUGAUCAUAUCUACUAUAUGAUUCACGCUCGACCUUUCGGUCUCAGUGUUCCGAGGCCAUAUCUACAUAUGCUAGGCUCGUCAAGUUUAACCCGAGUAGUCUGCGUGUGCAAAACUGGCUUGCACCCGAUGUAUGUGAACAUAGAGCUUAUCACACCCGAUCAUCACGUGGUGUCUUGGCACGACGAACUGUAGCAACGGUGCAUACUCAGGGAAGAACACUUAUACUUUGAAAUUUAGUGAGAGAUCAUCUUAUAAUGCUACCGCCGUACUAAGCAAAAUAAGAUGAAUAAAAGAUAAACAUCACAUGCAAUCAAAAUAAGUGAUAUGAUAUGGCCAUCAUCAUCUUGUGCCUUUGAUCUCCAUCUCCAAUGCACCAUCAUGAUCACCAUCGUCACCGGCUUGACACCUUCAUCUCCAUCGAAGCAUCGUUGUCGUCUCGCCAACUAUUGUUUCUACGACUAUCGCUACCGCUUAGUGAUAAAGUAAAGCAAUUACAUGGCGAUUGUAUUUCAUACAAUAAAGCGACAACCAUAUGGCUCCUGCCAGUUGCCGAUAACUGUUACAAACAUGAUCAUCUCAUACAACAAUUUAUAUUUCAUCACGUCUUGACCAUAUCACAUCACAGCAAGCCCUGCAAAAACAAGUUAGACAUUCUCUACUUUGUUGUUGCAAGUUUUACGUGGCUGCUACAGGCUUCUAGCAAGAACCGUUCUUACCUACGCAUCAAAAUCACAACAAUUUUUCGUCAAGUGUGUUGUUUUAACCUUCAACAAGGACCGGGCGUAGUCAAACUCGAUUCAACUAAAGUUGGAGAAACAGACACCCGCUAGCCACCUGUGUGCGAAGCACGUCGGUAGAAGCAGUCUCAUCAACGUGGUCAUGUAAUGUCGGUCCAGGCCGCUUCAUCAAAUAAUACCGCCAAAACAAAGUAAGACGUUGCUGGUAAGUAGUAUGACUGUUAUCGCCCACAACUCAUUGUGUUCCACUCGUGCAUAUAACAUCUACGCAUAAACUUGGCUUUGAUACCACUGUUGGGGAAUGCAGUAUUUCAAAAAAUUUACCUACGAUCACGCAAGAUCUAUCUAGGAGAUGCAUAGCAACGAGCGGGGAGAGUGUGUCCAUGUACCCUCGUAGACCGAAAGCGGAAGUGUUUAGUAACGCGGUUGAUGUAGUUGAACGUCUUCGCGAUCCAACCGAUCCAAGUACCGAACGUAUGGCACCUCCGUGUUCAGCACACGUUUAGCUCGAUGACGUCCCUCGGGCUCUUGAUCCAGUUGAGGACGAGGGAGAGUUCCGUCAACACGACGGCGUGGCGACGGUGAUGAUGAAGUUACCGGCGCAGGGCUUCGCCUAAGCACUAUGACGAUAUGACCGAGGUGUGUAACUGUGGAGGGGGCACCACACACGGUUAAGAGAAACUUGUGUGUCUUUGGGGUGCCCCCCUGCCCCCUUAUAUAAAGGAGGGAGGAGGAGGCCGGCGGCGAGGGAGGAGGCGUGCCAUAGGGGAGUCCAACUAGGAUUCCCAAUCCUAGUUGGAGUCCCCUUCCUUUUUCCAAGAAGGAGAGAGAGGGAAGGAGGAAGAGGGGAGAAGGAAAGAGGGGGCGCCGCCCCCCUCCCUAGUCCAAUUCGGACAGGCCAUGGGGGGCACGGCCUCCCUUGAGGCCCUCCUCUCCUUUCCACUAAGGCCCAUGAAGGCCCAUGAAAUUCCCGGGGAGGGGGGAGGUUCCGGUAACCCCUGGUACUCCGAAACUCAUCCGAAACAACCCGAACCAUUCCGGUGUCCGAAUGUAACCUUCCAAUAUAGGAAUCUUUAUGUCUCAACCAUUUCAAGACUCUUCGUUAUGUCUGUGAUCACAUCCGGGACUCCGAACAAACUUCGGUCAUCAAAUCACAUAACUCAUAAUACAAAUCAUCAUCGAACGUUAAGCGUGCGGACCCUACGGGUUCGAGAACUAUGUAGACAUGACCGAGACACAUCUCUGGUCAAUAACCAAUAGCGGAACCUGGAUGCUCAUAUUGGCUCCUACAUAUUCUAUGAAGAUCUUUAACGGUCAAACCGCAUAACAACAUACGUUGUUCCCUUUGUCAUCGGUAUGUUACUUGCCCGAGAUUCGAUCGUCGGUAUCAUCAUACCUAGUUCAAUCUCGUUACAGACAAGUCUCUUUACUCGUUCUGUAAUGCAUUAUGCCGCAACUAACUCAUUAGUCACAUUUCUUGCAAGGCUUAUAGUGAUGAGCGUUACCGAGAGGGCCCAGAGAUACCUCUCCAAAACACGGAGUGACAAAUCCUAAUCUCGAUCUAUGCCAACUCAACAAGCACCAUCGCAGACACCUGUAGAACAUCUUUAUAAUCACCCAUUUACGUUGUGAUGUUUGAUAGCACACAAGGUGUUCCUCCGGUAUUCGGGAGUUGCAUAAUCUCAUAGUCAGAGGAACAUGUAUAAGCCAUGAUGAAAGCAAUAGCAAUAAAAUUUAAAUGAUCAUUAAUGCUAAGCUAACGGAUGGGUCUUGUCCAUCACAUCAUUCUCUAAUGAUGUGAUCCCGUUCAUCAAAUGACAACACAUGUCUAUGGUCAGGAAACUUAACCAUCUUUGAUUAACGAGCUAGUCUAGUAGAGGCAUACUAGGGACACUCUGUUUGUCUAUGUAUUCACACAUGUACUAAGUUUCCGGUUAAUACAAUUCCAGCAUGAAUAAUAAAAAUUUAUCAUGAUAUAAGGAAAUAUAAAUAACAACUUUAUUAUUGCCUCUAGGGCAUAUUUCCUUCAGUGGCGUGCGGCGUGGCAGUGGGGUUGGGCAGAGCGGUGCGCUGGCGAUGCGGGGGCAGGGGCGUAGCGAGCUGGACGGGGGCGAGCGUGCGCUGGCUCGUGCGCGUGCGGGCGCAGGCCGCGGCCACGGGGCGGCCAGAGCCGGAGACAAGGAGUGGGGGCAGGCGUGCGAGGGGAGAUUGUGUGGGGAGUUCGGGCGAACGGGGUCGUGGCCAGCGCGGAGUAACGGCUGCAGAUGCAUGCCACGACGACGAGUGGACGAGGCGGGCGUGGGCUCGGCGAGUGUGCGUGUGCGGAGGAGGGUGCGGUCAUCGCGGGCGCUGGGCGUGCACUACAAAGAAAAUACACUUCCGUGAUGAUACGUGUUUGUCACAGUAGGUCACGUUUUCUAUCAUGCAUGUACAUCCAUGACAAAUUUAUAACAGAAUCAAGAUAGUCAUACCUGUGCUGUCGUAGAAGUGUUCCAUGACAUUACCAAAAUUAUCAUCACGGAAGUGUCCACUUCCAUGAUGAUAAAUCGCGCGUCACAGAAGUGCUUUCGUCAAGGGUGACCGACAUGUGGCAUCCACCGUAAUGGAACGCCGUUAAGCUAUCGGGUCCGGUUUUGGAUCCGAUAACCCAUAAACAGCCCCGACCAAUGGGGAUUUUCCACGUGUAAAAUCAUCAUUGGCUGGAGGAAACACGUGUCGGCUCACCGUUGGGACAGAUGUCAUCCACUCAUUGGACCCAAAGCGCCUAUGAUACGUCGACACGUGGCACGGCCCAACAGAGGCCCAUUCCUAUGAAAAGGCCGACCCGUUUGACUUGGUCAAAAGAUGGCGGGCCGGCCCACAGCAAGCCUGUUAACGGCUUGUUCGCAUAUAGCCCAUUUACAGCCCGCUAACCCAGGGCCCGUUUACGGCCUAUCCGAAUUAGGCCCAGUAGCGUCAUCUGGGCCGUCCAAUAUAAUUCCAGCCCGUUUUAACUUCCGGUUCAUGUAUGGCCCAUGACGUCUUUUGGCCCAUAUGAGGCCCUUUGUAACUCUCGGCCCAUUAACGGCCCGUGGUAAAACUGGCCCGUAAUGAACAGUGUAUCACUUUAUACCCAUUAACGGCAAGUGGUGAAACUGGCCCGUAAUGAACAGUGUAUCACUUCAUACCCAUUAACGGCCCAUUAUUCCAUUGGGCCGUUUCCAGCCCAUGUUAUCUUUCGGCCUUCUCAGGGCCCAUUUAUUCUUGGGCUCAUUUCCAGCAUUCGGUUACUUACGGCCCGUUACUCUCAUUUUAUGCUUGUGGGCCAAAUUCAGCCCGUGGUUACAGUCGGCCCGUUUGUGGCCCGUUAAUACGCUGGGCCGUUUUCAUGUAAAAAAACACGUUGGGCUGUUUUCAUAGAGUUAUGAAAUACGGCCUAUUAAUGGCACGUUAUUGUCCAUGAAUAGUAUGGCCCAUGAUUGGCGAAAUGAUGAUACGCCCCGUAGAAGGCCCAUGGAUCCUACGGCCCGUAGAAGGCCCAUGGAUCUAUGGGCCGUAGAAGGCCCAUGGAUCCUACGGCCCGUAGAAGGCCCAUGGAUCAUACGGCCCGCAGGAGGCCCAUGGUUACAACAGUCCGUGUGUUGCCAUGAUUAUUUUGGCCUAGUUCCCAAAAAUAGGUUAUUGUGGCCACUAGAAAAACACAGAAAAAGAACUGCAGUGACUACAAGCAAACAACUAAACAAGACAAUAAGGAAAUAAAUAAGCAAGCAAUUAACGCUAGCCUAUUACCGCUAUUACCGCUAUUACACAUAUUACAUCCACUAGGCAUCAAAGUUCGCCACCAGUGCAAAUAUAGGGAACAAAGCAGCAUAUUACAUACACUGGUCGUCAAAAUUGGCCACAAGUGCAAAUAAACACGGCAGCAAAACAAGAGCAUAACUGAAACAACUUCAGAAGAGCUCAAGAAAUGUUAUCUUGGGUAUCCACCAUGCUCGCAAUAAGCUUAGCAAGCUUAUUAGCUUUGUCCUGUUUGGCGCUAAAAUCCUCCAACGCUUGCUGUUGCACCAGAAAGUAUGCAUCUGAAUGCUCCAGGGACUUCCGCAAUCCUUCCGCUUCUUGUCGCAGCACAGCUGAUCGAUGUCUUUCAGCUGUAGUUGAGACUCAAGAAACCGAACUGAUUCAGACAGUGAGUUUGAAUAGCUUGUGCAAGCAGUAGUGGCCAGUAACUCGAACACUAAACCAAGGCAGGACUUUGGGGUUGUCUCACUGUCUUCGAGAUAGUCUUCCUUAGCUGUUUUAUCAGCUUUGUUGGAGACCAACAAGGAUGUGUCACUAUCCUGAACCUUAUCUGCAUUACUUCAUUUACCAUUGCUUAAUAAGGCACUCUUCCCCAAUAUUCUGUCAGUAUUCUAAAAGAAGAAACAAGCAGACACAUAACAGGUUUAGCAUGUACUAGUAUAUGAAACUCAUUUCGGUGAACCAGUUCAUUAGUAGGGUGGACAGGAUUAAACUACCAAGUCUUCUAUUGCCAAGUACUAGUACAUAAUAAAAGCAUCAAACAAACAUAUAUCUAUGUCCUAUGGUCAUUGCAUUGUCUUGCCAAAUCAAAAUAGAGACAUGGUUCAAAUCAUAUCAUUUCAAGACAAAGCAGCAGUGAAAGAAUACAAAGCGUGGGAAACUACACGGCACAACAAGAUUUCAGAUGGGUACCACGGGUCUACAUGUACAACAACACUAUUGGCUCUGUUGUGAUGCUAGUAAUGUGCAUGAUAUGAGAAGUCAACUGUAUACACAAUUGAAAUUGAAAUCAACAAAGCUAUUGAUAAGAGCAAGCCUGUUAAAGAUACAUGCGUGAACAUACCUGCUGUGCCAUUGGAGUUUCGAUUAGAUCCUUCAAUUUAAAAAUAAGUUUGUAUGAGUAAAUACAGUGAUACAAGAGCAAAGCAGUAUGCACGAUAGCAAUCAUAGUUAAAAAAGGCGCGCCUAAGCGAGCGCUUAAGCGCGCCUAGGCUCUAGGCGUUGGCGAAACGCAUUGCGCAUAACUACGGUUAAUCUAUGCAUAACUGCGCAUCAGCAUGCGCUUUGGUCAGUAAAGCACAAGGCGGUGGCAAAACGCACAAUUAACGCCUAGCGCUUUUUUGAACUAUGAUAGCAAUGGAAUCUUAAAUUAGAACAGUUGUUCUUCAGGUUUAGGCACUUUUUCUACAUGAACAGAGUACAGUAAGACGCAAGAAUAUAGUACUUAAAAAUAGAAAAUGAGCUCAUAGACCUUACCACAUUCUUGGCUCGGGAUCAGUACAGAACAAGGCGUUCCCAGUCAUCGUCGAGUAAAUGUGUCUCAGGAGAACGUAAGGGAAUUUGAUGAGUUUCUUUGCCGGUGAAGUACGUUUUCUUCAGGUAAUUCCGAUACUGCCACCAAGCAUUCUUGAAGAUAGCAGAGGUAUUAGCACAGGUUACCUCAUACUGAGUUUCCAAAUCGGUCCUUCUCUAUAGAAAAAAAUGGGAAAAUUUGCUGUAUUAUAACCAUCAUGGAGGUAGGAUGUAUGGGACAAAGCAAAGUAAUUGCCAUGAAUAACAUUACUUACACAUAACUCCUGGACAAACACCUGCAACUGGCAUUUUCCUUCAUCUUCAGUAUAAUAUUUCCAAGAUGGGAAGAUACGCACAUAUUAUUUAAGAACAUCAAAUGCGACAGAUGCUAAACUACGACUAGCUGGUUGUGCUUCCUCCAUAGGAAUAGGCGUACUAACUGGUGGAGUUGGGGUUCGCCGUGGUAGUACUGACCCUUUGGGGACUGGAGCUGCCUUACUAACUGCUCUUGUUUGGGAGCUCUGUGGUGGAGAUGGUGCUGUGUGAACAGGAACUGGGUUACUAUCUGCUGGGGUUGGGGUUAGAUUGGGUGAAGCUGGUUCUCUGUCCAUCGCAGUAGGGGUACAAUCUGCGAGAGUUUGGGUUAUGUGUGGUAUGGCUGGUUCUCGUGCAUGUACAACCGGGUUGCUAUCUCCACCAAGAGGUAGCACUGUUUUAUUUGAAGACCGUGUUUUUAGUCCGCUAGAUGCUGGCAUCACCCGCUCCAAUUCAAAUGGCUGAUAAACAGGAAACAUAGUUGAAUGUACAGACAUUGUAUGAGAGACAGAUGCAAUAGAUAGUGUGGAAAAAAGAGGACAUGAAAUAGUUGACAGGUAUAUUGUUUAACUAAAACGGAUAGCAUGACAUAAUUUCACAUAUAUGAUGUCUAUCUAAACUGGAUAGCAUAGCAUAACAUAAUUCAAAGAUAUGAUGAAUAACUAAACAGGAUCGCAUGACAUAAUUCACCUACAUGUUAUCUAAGUAAUCAGGAUCACAUCAUUUAAUUCACAUAUGUGAUUUAUAUGCUAAACAGAGGGCAUUAGGUAUGAUGUCUGAACUAAGAACAUGGUGUUGAAUAUUGUGUAUAUGAUGUCUAAACUAUGCAAUGCAAGACACCAUAUGCAUGAUAUGAGCAGUAUAACCGUGCCAAGUUAGAGCAUACACCUCGGUGGGGGAAUAGGACUGGUCAUCUGUCUCUGAAUCCAUCUCUAAGGAGCUAUCGGGACCCAACAAGAGAUCUGCUUCGACAGGUAGCACUAUCUGCUCCGAAGGCCUUGUUUUCACUCCAGAUUUUUCAAUCUCCCACCCAAAUGGCUGAUUCACAGGAAGAGUAGUUUAAUGUACAAACGUUGUCGACAAAUGGAAAUGUAAUGAAGAAAAGGAUCGGCAAGAUAUCAUUCAAAUAUAUGAUGUCUGGUUAAACAGGAUGGCAUUGCACAUUUCACAUAUAUUAUGGCUGGCUAAAAGACAUGAGACUGCAUAAUUCCCAUAUAUGAUAUAGAAACUAAACAGGUGGCAUUACAGAACAUGUCUAAACUAAGCAAAUGACAUAUAUGAUGUCAAAAGUAGGCACUUCAAGGCAACAUAUGCAUGAUAUGACUAACAUCAUCAUGCCAAGGUAGAACAAACACCUUGGGGGGUAAAUAGGAGUGGUCAGCGACGUCUGGAUCCACCUCAAAACAGAUAUCUUCCUCUGGAUUACAAUCUGGAGAGGGGCGGGGAGGGUUUCCAUUGAACCCACCAUGGAGCGAUGUCUGCAUGACAUUGUAUUGCCGCGCAAAACUCUUCUCUUUUUCUCUACAUGUUCAGCAUGACUGUGUACAAUAUCUGACAUGCAUACGAAAAAAUAUGAUGAGAUUAUGUAAGGAGAGCAUGCAGAAAUUUAGAGUGAUGGUAACAACCAGUGGAUGGAUCCAAAAAUAAUGAUAGCGGGCUGAUGAUUGCUUUAAUUUAAUAAAAAAGUCAGAUGAUGAUUGCUUUACUAUUUUUUUCCCACCCAAGAUGAACAACAUAGGCAUACCCUAGGUGAACCAAAUAUUAGACAGAGAUACUAUGCAUUGCUUCCUCGAUAUGUGCCCCACAACUAAUUUAGAACUCAAGUUUGAACAUUAAUUUGGACCUGACUUGGAGUCCAAGAGGUGAACAGGAUGAUAAAGUAGCAGGUAAGUUUAAGCAAUGCAUAACAUAAGCAGAAACAAAAGAGUGCGACCUCUCUUGUGGACCCGUGUACUCCUCAGGUUCAUCUGCUGAGUCGAUGAUGGUGAUGCCGUUGCGGUGGGUGCUGGCGGCACGGAAGGAGAUCUGAGGCGGCGAAAGACGGUCAGGAGUCGUGAUGUCUGGCUUGGUGGAUGUUUCUGCCGAUGGAGCAGCUCAGGUGAGGUGGACGACGUCGCGGCAGGAGCAGGACAAACCACACAAAGUUCCCUUCGACACCUACCUGUAACUGAAGUAAUUCUGUAAGGGCUCAUUUGGCUUGCAUGAUUCUUAAAACGCAGGGAUAGGAAAAACACCGGAAUAGGAUAGGAAUGCACAUGGUAAACAGAGCAUUUGUAAACACAGGAUUUCUGUCAACUUGGGUGUUUGGUUUACAGGAAUUGGAAGAGCAGAGGAAUGCAAAGAAACAUGGCCAAAAUAAAGUGAAACCAUAUGAAAGCGUGUACAGUUAGAAUGUUAUUCUGCCACUAAUGCACUUGGUCUUGUUUUCAUGCGUAGGAUUUUGAAAAGUAGGUCCAGGUGGAUGUUUUGCUUCAUUCCUUUCAACAAAAUGCAUGAAUAAUUGAAUAGUAGAGUGCCAUUGGAAAAAUUCCCUAUUGCUAUGUUUUUCCGUUGAACCAAAAUAGCCCUAAUGGAUCGACAUGAAUGUAUAGUAAUAAGUGAUGCAACAAGUGUACAACCUCUUUGUCAUAGCCGUGUCGACCUCAACAUCAUUGGGUUGGUCGCUAAAGCAGUUGAGGCAGAGGUGGCUGUCGGAGGUGUGGAGGAAGAUCUGAGGAAUCUGUAGACGGCGUCCAGGGCACUGCUCUGUUGUGAUGGAUCGUUCUGUCGUUGGAGCAGCUCCGGUGAGCCGUAAGACGUCAAGGCUGAAGCAGCACAAGACAGACAUCGUCAAUCUCAAGUGGGAUUCUAAUAGCAUCUCCAAUAGAUGAUGUAAAAUAGAUGUAAAAUUUACAUCACCAAAAGCCACCUGAGUACAACAAAUGAGGUAAAAACUGUUGACUCUGAACUUAACUGUCGAAACUGAAAUUUACUGUGGAAUCUGAAUGUUACUUUUGAAAUUGAACGCAAUGGUCGCAGAGAGGCACUUGACAUGUAGUUUAGGGAGGGCCUGCAGUUCAUCUUCAACCUGCACCCCCCUGAGCCACCAGCCACCACUGGCCGAACCGCCGGCCCCAGCGCCGCCUCGCUGCCCCGAAACAACUCCCCACCGCCGGUCCGCCGCCCUGGCCAGCCCUCUAGGCCCUCCGCCCCCACCCUGAACCCUAAGAUAGAUAGUGGGGUACCUCUUCGGCGAGCCCCCGUCCCCGCUGCGGGUGGUUCUUCCUUAACUCUGGCGAGCCCCCCACCCCUUGAAAAUCGACUGACCCAAAAGUCAAUUCAGUCUACUGAAGUGUAGCUAAAUCGAUGCAGAGCAGCAGCACGAGCGAGGGGGAGAGCAGCAGCAGCAGUGCGAGCGAGCGAGCGAGAGCCGGAGCAGCAGCAGUAGAUCCGGCUGGUAUGGAUGCCGCCGCCGAAGGGGCCUCGCACUGGGGGAGAGCCGCCAUGGAGAUGUCGCCCGCGGCGCCGGCUUCAAGGUAGCCACUCCAUGGGGGUGCGGGAUGGAGCACCGUCGGCGCCGGGAGGUCGAGUUAAGGAGAAGGUGCGAUGCGAUGAGUGUACAACCUCUUUGGUGGCACCGAGUAGGCCUCAGCUUCGUCCGAGGAGUCACUGAGGAUGCUGCGGUUCCGGUGGAGCAGGUUAAGGCGUUGCUGUGGGGAUGGAGCAGCCGCAUAGACGAGGCGAUCGUCGGAGCAGCUCCUUGGAGGUGGAGGAUGGGGCGGCUGAACCGGCGGGACGAUGAGAUGGACGACGGAUCCUCAUCCGGGGAGGUGGACGAGGUACGUCGAGCUGUUGCGGUGGACGAGGUCGUCAGGGAAGAGGCUCCGACUGGGCAGCGGUGAGGUGGCGGACAGAGGAGGGUGGGGUUUCGCGGCUGAAGCGGAGAGGUUAUGGCGGCCUGGAUUUCGAAUGGCAAAAAGGAGGCGAUGGGCGGGGGUGAACCAUGACUUAGGGACGCGCUUGUCCAAAAUGUAGGGUGUGUUACAAAAGUACCCCCCACCGAUUUGAACUAGCGGCCCUUUCGGCUCAGGGUUAGAAGGGGAUUCCGCGUGUCGGGAUUUGGCAGCUGGAGGGAGUUUUCGCGCGCGUUGUAAUUUCGGGAUAGCAAGGCGCGGGUUGUGAAGGUGCCAGUUUGGGAGCACGAUAUCUGAAUUUUCGGGAUAUAUCAAGGCGCGGGUUGAAUUUUAGGGACAAGCCUAACGUGUAAUAUUGUACUUGUACAUACCAAAUCAAUUCGCAGUUCCCUCAACCAAAAAGAAAACUAUUCACACCACACAAAGAGAGAGUCUUGCCCCAUUUUACUAUAAAAAUGCUAUUCAAAGCUACUCCCUCCUUCCAUCUAUAUAGGGCCUAAUGCGUUUUUCGAUGCUAACUUUGACCAAAUAUUAGAGCAAUAAGAUAUGACAUGCAACUUACACAAAGCACACCGUUAAAUUCGUGUGUGAAAGGUACUUUCAAUGAUAUAAUUUUCACAUUGUGCAUGUCAUGUACUAUUAAUCUUGUCAAUAGUCAAAGGCGGUCUUAAAAUACGCAUUACGCCCUAUAUAGAUGGAAGGAGGGAGUAUGAAUCCAUGUUAUGUCCAAUUAAUUUUUUUCGCUUGCUGUAUAAUGCAUGUAACCUACUCAAACCAACAUUUUUGUGCAUUCCAAAUGUCUAUACUACCGCUGCAAUUCGAACUGAAUUUGAAUUCGUUUCGCUAUUUCAAUAAGAAUCUACAAUCAUGAUUGUUGCCAACUUCAACCAUCAUUCGUGUAUUACCUUAAUAACACACCACAUGAUUACUAUAGAGAUAGAUAUGAACUAUGUAUACUACAUGAACUCGAAUUCUAUUUUUUGAAUACACUUGAUAUCGAUUCCAAAUAAUAGUACAUUUGAUGUACUAACUAUAUAUUCAUAAUCUAAACCAUGUUCCAUACGUACACCGUGUUUAUCACACAUAGUAUAGUGCCCCGCCCCCUACAUUAUGACAAGUAUUUAGACCUGAGCUGCAAAAGCCACACAUUAGCCCAUGAUCAAUGUUCUAUAUAUUAUACGUAGUACUAGCAAGAUGCCCAUGCGUUCCACAGAACAUCAACAUGAUCAAGGGGAGGCCUAAUUUGCAAAUAUGGAGAGGGGUGUGGGUAUCUUUUUUCAAAAUUGCCAUAGUUUCCUUCCUAUCCGUCAGAUAUAAAUCGGACGGCCUAUAUUGCAGGAUGGCAGGCACACCAUCAUCAACAACUCCGUUUUUUAUAAGAGUAGAGAUAAAAUAUAUUAUAUGUAGUAUAACAUGUUCAUAACCACACCAUGUGUAUCACCGUUAUAUAUAUUCACACAUGCGUCGGUUUAAAACACUACGAUAAAUUCUUCAAAUAUCCGAAUUCGCUUUUUAUAAUGAAGUAUGAUCUCUAUUCGUCUUUUACACCCACACAAUCCUCUUAUCUUUGUAGUUAGUGCUAACUUUCUGUCGUGCAUGCACACGCCCGCAUCCCUCUCACCCUCCCUCAGCAUUCUCUAGCUCUAUCACGCAAAUUCGUCUUUUCACUUUAGGUCAUUCACCCACGGUGUGUGUAGGCCCCCCAGCUCCUUCUUUACGGCACACAUCGAUCGAUAUGCCUCUCUAGCCAGGUGUGCCUAACACAAACACAAGCUUCCCCUCUUCUCUUAUCACCGUCCAGGCCUCACUCCCACCACUCUUUUCAUCGAUCUCGUACUCGCACACUCCUUCCCCCUCGAUAUAGUAUGACUCUCGCACCACCUCCUAGAUGCAUCCCUCUCUCUCUAUCCUUCUCCCCAUGCCUCAUUUGCUUCUAACACACACAUGCAUGUAUACCGAUCGAUCUCCUAACAUAUACCUAGGUCGACUUUAACUAUUCCCCCCCCAUCGAUCGACGUACCUCACAAGUUAUGUCUCUCCUUUCUCUGGCAAAGGACGAUUGAUCUUCCUAUGUAGUUAUGUCUGCUUACCACAGCCAUAUCGUCCCCCCUCAUCAUUCGUGCAUGCCUCCUGACCCGUCUCUCACAUGCACGUGCACAGUCAGGCAGCUAUCCCCUCUCUUAUUGAUAUUGCAGGCGUGCCCCCGGGUUGUCUAGCAAGCCUAUCCCACCAUUUGUUAGAAGCAACUCCACUACCACCCCCUCCAACACUCUAGCUCUGUCUCUCUCCCAACCUUAUUCCUCUCCUACACAUAUGCAUGGAUGCCGAUCGAUCUCCCUUAUUACAUGAGGUAGAUCGAUCUCCCUUAAUACAUGAGGUAGGCCUCUCUCCUCCUCCACACAUAUACCAGCCAUUGUACCUCUAUAGUUAAUUAGGCCCCCCUCCCCCCCCACCACAAACCGAUAGUCGAGCGCUGUACAUAGGUAUCCAUGCCACAGAGACAAACUGCACCUGUCCCCUCUCACGUUCUAGUAGGCCAGCCACUCUAUAUCUUUGACGUGGGCACACACAAAUUCGAUGGCACUCUUUAUCGAUCGCGCGCGCGCGCGCGCACACACAUCAUCAUCCCUCUCUUCGAUUCUAUGGACACCUCAAGCCGAUGAUACCUCCACUCUCUUCUCGUGAAUCGCCCCCUCUAUAUAUAUGAUAUAUCCAGGACUCUAUUUCACACACAUUGCAUAUGUUACAUUUUUUUAUUGACCCCCCCCCCAAAAACUCUCACGAACCCACACACUAUAUCUCUCUACGUUUGUAUCUCUCUCACACAACCCCACGUAGGUGGUGUACGUAUACAAGAAGAGAAUAGGUGCACCAUGCACGUACUCACGCUUCGUGCCCAGCCACACCCGCACGGGUACACGGUGGAGCUCAUUUUUGUACGAAAUGGCAGCCCACAUGCUAAUUUGAACGCGUGUAGCGGUUGUUUACCUACGGAGGUCGUGUACCACGCGUGCACGAAACAAAGUUCGACUUGAUGCGUUGGCGCGUCAUUUUUGAAUAAAGGUAUAUCGCUCAAUGGCACGUACACAGAAUAUAAAACGAUUUUUAUGGAGAAAAAGGUAGUCCGCUCCACUAUAUAUAAUGGAGCCUGCCUGCCUGGUUUGUCUCUCAUGAGAGUAUCUCACACAAGGCUGCGGUGGCCUAUCUCUCUCUCUCACCGUUGGUCACUGAUCCGGCCGCAUCCCGUCCGCCGGCGGAAAGGGAGGACGUGCAUCGUUUCUCCGUUCGACGGCGCCGAGGCAGCACGUCCCGAUCUGCGGUACAUACCGUUCUCUCUGACCAAGCUCCGGCGCGGUAGGGCCUACACCACCUGCUCGCUGCCGCAGUAUGGGCAGAUUCCGCCCGCCGCCGCUCACCUAGUUACAUCCCGACGACCUCCAGGUAUCCCCUCGGCCUUGCUCCACUGCCCGUCUUCCCACGUCGCAGCAUGUGGAUCUUCCAUAGUUCUUUGCCCAAAACGUAGCUCGUCCGGCGUACUUUCCAUAUUGCAAUCUCGUCCUCACACCGUUUUAUACAAACACAACCGUGUUGUUACCUUCCCUUAGGACAAGGAAUAUGCUUCUUUUUUGUCGUCGCAUGUGUCAUCAACUGUUAUUGGCCAGUAGUUGUUUCCUUUUUACCUCUUUUUUGCAAACAGGCUAUCCAUUUCACCUCGUUGCUAUUGCGACCUUUUGGUGAACUGCACAAAUCACUUUUUUCUUAAGAGUGUUUUGUGCAGUUCUACCAAAAUAUCACACGGGCAACAUCUCUACAUUUCAGUGUGACUGCACAAAGGGAGAUUGGUUUUGCUCUAUCCUCCUCAUCCAACUCCGAGCCUACUCUUCUCCAACUAGUUAGUCUUAAGAGAGGCUGCAAAGGUGACCGGCUUCUAUUUGUGUGUUUAUUGUUUCAUCAGCAGUCCUCUAUUAUCGUAAUCACACUUAAUAUCUUUGGAACAGGGACGCUCAGCUCUAUUUUAGUGGAACUGCACAAAAUGAUCGGAAUGUUGCAUGCUCCAAACAGCUACUUUUUUUCCCAACAUGCCUUGUCGAUUUAGACAGAGCUGGGGGGACGUUGCUGCCAAUGAAAGCAUGGAUCAAUUUUAAUUUAACACCUUCUCACAACUUUGUCUUCUGUUGUGAUGUAAAUAUUAGCUCUGAUCUGCUAAUAAUUGAGAUGCAUUAGCAAGGAAGUUAGUUUUUUAUUGUUUCCGAAAGAGCAUCAAUGGCAAGACACACGAAACAAAAGCCGAAAGCUCACACCAUUGUACAAUUUCAUGUCGCUGGAAAAUUAUUUGUAUAGUACGUCAAUUAUGUAAACAAAUGCUGGAAGCUUGAUAGCAUUGCCAGAAGCCUCUUCGGCAUCCGGGUCCAUGUGCCAUGCACAAAAUUAUACUCCUUCGUUCCUAAAUAUUUGUCUUUUUACAAAUUUCAAAUGGGCAUAUUUUAGAGUGUAGAUUCACUCAUUUUGCUUCGUAUGUGUACUCCCUCCUUUCCUAAAUAUUUGUCUUUCUAGAGAUUUCAACAAGUGACUACAUACGGAGCAAAAUGAGUGAAUCUACACUCUAAAAUAUAUCUAUAUACAUCUGUAUGUGGUAGUCCAUUUGAAUCUCUAAAAAGACAAAUAUUUGAGUAGUCACUCGUUGAAAUCUCUAGAAAGACAAAUACUCCAGAGUAUAUUUAAGAACCGAGGGGGUAGUGCACAGCCGCAUGGGAGACUCAGCCCGGUCGUUGCGCCGCACUAAUAGUGAGUCAUGAGUAGUCAAAUCAUAAGCCCCACCUUUCCCACUGUAAGUUGCUCAGAAGAAGGAACCAUCAAUACGCUCUUCUUUGAAUCCGCUCAUACUACUCCAUCCGUCACUGCUUAUAGAGCGCGCUUCAGAAAAAAGAAAAAAUCUAUGGGACCAAGGCGACUAGCGAUCGGCCUGAAAAAUAGCAUUGGUAGUUAUAGCACGGUGUCUAUUAUUAGAGGAAAUAAUGCGUACACACAUGCAUGCAGUGCUUCCACCCCGGGUGCACACAUGCAUGCACUUACUCCACUCCGUAGUACAUCGAGAGAACAUUGUGGGCUUGAUUGCGGUUACCACGCCCUAAUUAAUUGAGCAUUAAACCAAACGCGUCUAAAGUCUCUCUGGGGUGCAAAUGCAUUGAGAGAAAUGCAUCAUAAUGAAGCACGCCCUGUAAACUGUGACGGAGGGAGUGAGGGAGUCCUGGAUGAGGGGGUCCCCGGACAGUCGGACUAUAUACUUUAGCCGGACUGUUGGACUAUGAGGACACAAGAUUGAAGACUCCGUCCCGUGUCCGGAUGGGACUCUCCUUGGCGUGGAAGGCAAGCUUGGCAAUAGGGAUAUGUAGAUCUCCUCCCUUGUAACCGACUCUGUGUAACCCUAGCCCCCUCCGGUGUCUAUAUAAACCGGAGGGUUUAGUCCGUAGGACAACAACAAUCAUACCAUAGGCUAGCUUCUAGGGUUUAGCCUCUACGAUCUCGUGGUAGAUCAACUCUUGUAAUGCUCAUAUCAUCAAGAUCAAUCAAGCAGGAAGUAGGGUAUUACCUCCAUCGAGAGGGCCCGAACCUGGGUAAACAUCGUGUCCCCCGCCUCCUGUUACCAUCUGCCUUAGACGCACAGUUUGGGACCCCCUACCCGAGAUCCGCCAGUUUUGACACCGACAUUGGUGCUUUCAUUGAGAGUUCCACUGUGCCGUCGCGAUAAAGGCUUGAUGGCUCCUUCGAUCAUCGCCAACGAUGCGAUCCGGGGAGAGGUUUUCCUCCCCGAACAGAUCUUCGUAUUCGGCGGCUUCGUACUGCGGGCCAACUCGCUUGGCCAUCUGGAGCAGAUCGAGAGCUACGCCCCUGGCCAUCAAGUCAGGUUUGGAAACUUGAACUAUACUGCCGACAUACAUGGAGACUUGAUCUUCGACGGAUUCGAGCCCAUGUCAGGUGCGCUGCACAGUCACGACGAGCAUGACGUAGCCCUGCCGUCGGACAGUGUUCGGGAGAUCACACCUGCGACUACUCCGGCCCUCAAUCCGGAACAGAUUGCGCCGUUCGAGGACGGGUGGAUGGACCCCGCCAUGAAGGCCGCGCACUCAGCGGCGAUAGAGCCGAAUGCUGACUUCACUUCCUAUGAGACCCGUGUUGCCGGACACUUGGAUUCGUCCCCGGCCACGGGGUCUGAGCCGCCUGCGUCCGUGCCUAUGGAAUCCGAUUGGGCACCGAUUAUGGAGUUUUCCUCCGCGGAUAUCUUUUAGCACUCACCACCGGGCGACGUGCUAAACUCAUUGAGGUCUCUCUCCUUGUCAGGAGACCAUUGGACGAACUAUGUCCGGCUAGAAUGGGAUGCGGACGACGAAGAAAUUUGCUCCCCACCCACCACCCACUUAGUAGCCACUCUCGACGAUUUAACCGACAUGCUCGAUUUCGGCUCCGAAGACAUCAACGGUAUGGACGACGAUGCAGGAGACGAACAGGAACCACCGCCCACAGGGCGCUGGACUGCCACCUCAUCAUAUGAUAUAUACAUGGUGGACACCCCCAAAGAAGGCAAUGGCGAUAAGACAACGGAGGAUAAUCCCUCCAAGAAGCAAUCCAAGCACCGACGUCAGCGGCGCCGCUCUAAGUCCCGCCAUAGCAAAAGCAGCGAUACCGGCACAAGAGGCAAUAAUGCUCCGGAUAGUGCCGAAGACGAUGACAAUCCCCUCCAGCCAGACCUCGAGCGGGAGGAUGAACAAGCUAGCCCUCUGGAACAGGCAGCAGACGGAGAAUCAGAGGAUGACAAUUACAUGUCUCUCUCCGAAGACAAGGUGAGCCUCGACGACGAAGAAUUUAUCGUACCUGAGGAUCCCGUCGAGCAGGAGCGCUUCAAGCGCCGGCUUAUAGCCACAGCAAACAGCCUGAAGAAAAAGCAACAACAGCUUCGAGCUGAUCAAGAUCUGCUAGCAGAUAGAUGGACUGAAGUCCUGGCGGCCGAGGAAUACGAACUCGAGCGCCCAACCAAGAGUUACCCAAAGCGCAGGUUGCUACCCCAACUCGAGGAGGAAGCAUUAAAACCUACAUUACCAGCGUAUGAUGCAGCUGAUCGGCCACCUCAUGGCCGAGACAGAGGGGCAUACCAGCCCGAAGUCCAGCCCGCACCCCGCCGCCAUUCAAACAAAAAUACCAAGGCCCGGGGCAACACACAGGACCUGCAAAACGCAUUGAAAAACAAAGCAGGACAUACAAGAUUGAUCUACGGAUCACGGGCUCGCGCCCAAACGUGUGACGAUGAUCGUCACGCCGGAUACACUAAAAGCAAAUCCGGCCGGGCCGAAUACAGCAGACAAGACUCGUAUGAACUGCGUCGCGACAUAGCCCGACAGAGAGGUGCCGCACACCCCCUACGCUUCACUGAUGAAGUAAUGGAUCACGAAUUCCGAGAAGGGUUUAAACCCGUAAAUAUUGAAUCAUAUGAUGGUACUACAGACCCCGCGGUAUGGAUAGAAGACUUCUUCCUCCACAUUCACAUGGCCCGCGGGGAUGAUCUACACGCCAUCAAGUAUCUCCCGCUAAAACUCAAAGGGCCCGCUCGGCAUUGGCUGAAUAGCUUGCCGGCAAACUCCAUCGGAAGUUGGGAGAGCCUGGCAGAUGCAUUCCUGGACAAUUUCCAGGGCAAUUAUGUGCGACCGCCGGAUGCUGACGAUUUAAGUCAUAUAACUCAGCAGCCAGGGGAAUCGGCCAGGAAAUUCUGGACCUGGUUCCUAACUAAGAAGAACCAAAUUGUCGACUGUCCGGAUGUAGAGGCCUUAGCGGCAUUUAAGCAUAACAUCCAUGACGAGUGGCUCGCCCGGCACCUCGGCCAAGAGAAGCCAAAAUCCAUGGCAGCCCUCACGACACUUAUGACCCGCUUUUGCGCGGGCGAAGAUAGCUGGUUGGCUCGUAGUAACAAUACAUCAAGCAAACCUGGCACAUCAGAGGCCAGGGAUAGCAACGGCAAACCACGAUGCAACAAACACAAGCGCCGCAAAUAUGGUGAAAACGCCGAAGAUACGGCAGUUAAUGCCGGGUUUAGUGGCUCAAAGUCCGGACAGCGGGAAGGGCCACUCAAAAAUAACAAUUCGGGUCCAUCCAGUCUGAACCGCAUACUCGAUCGCCAAUGCCAAAUUCAUGGCACCCCAGGAAUGCCAGCCGCCCAUACCAACAGAGAAUGCUGGGUCUUCAAACAAGCCGGCAGGGCAGGCGCCAAAAACGGAGAAGGGGGGUCUCAAAGCGAUGAUGGCGACGAAGAGCCCAGAUCAUCGAACACAGGAGGGCAAAAGAAAUUUCCCCCGCAAAUCCAAACGGUGAACGUGGUAAACACCACCCAAAUUCCCAACCCGGAUCGGAUACGCACCCUUAGGGAUGCCGACUUAACGGAACUAGUCGUCCCACAAUAUAAACUAGGGCCGGUCACCUUCAACCGCACGGACCGUCCGGUUAACGCCAAUCAGGGCAAUCCAGCCGCACUAGUCCUCGACCCAAUAAUUGACGGGUUCCACCUCACACGAGUCCUUAUGGAUGGAGGCAGUAGUCUAAACCUGCUUUACCAGGACAUAGUGCGCAAGAUGGGCAUCGAUCAUUCGGUGAUCAAACCCACUAAAGCCACUUUUAGAGGCAUUAUACCAGGUGUGGAAGCCAGUUGUACAGGCUCCAUCGCCCUUGAGGCAGUCUUCGGAUCACCAGACAAUUACCGUACUGAAGAGUUAAUCUUUGAAAUCAUCCCUUUCCGCUGUGAUUAUCAGGCACUGCUCGGACGAACCAUGUUCGCCGAUUCAACGCGGUGCCACAUUAUGCCUACCAUAAGCUCAAAAUGCCCGGUCCACGAGGCGUCAUCAUGGUUAAUGGCAAGGACGAACCUCACUUCGGCACCAACGAGUACACCGCUGCCUUAACAGCAGUAGUAACGAGCAGCACCUUGCAGCCGAACCUCGAGUCGACGGCCAGGCUCCCGGACACCGUCAAAGGACUACGAACUACUUCGCGGCAGGAUAGCCCGGCUCGUCCAGAGCUCAAUUAAACACUCCUGCAAAGGCCAGGACAGGCCGCACUCAGCGGCUCAACCGCUCUCCAGCACGCAAACAUUUCUUACAUUUCCUUCGCAGGUUCACCUUUGCGCCGACCAGGACGGGCGAUAUGGAGGCAACUCGAACGCGCAAGGGAAUCCUUAGAUAUUCCCCGCGAUGACCAUCCGACUAUACUCCGGAUCCGCACACAGCUUCUUCCCACCGGGCCUCAGCAGGUUCCAUAGUCAUAUUUCCUUUUUUCACAUUACCUGUACUUAUACGCAUCGACGUACUAUUCAAAUACAACAUAUGGAUUCAUAUGACGCUUAUCUACUGUUAUUUCUUAUUAAAAAUUCUUUUGUUAAGUGGCAUCCGUACAACACGAUAUGCCUUCAAAUAUGCCAGGGGCUUCAUUUUACCCAUAAUACGGCAAUAAAGUCCGAACACCUUCACGGAAGUUCGGCACCCCGAACCCAUAGCAUUAUAUGCAUCAGCUCCGAGUCAUGUCUUGGGUCAAUAGUUGGGUUUGCUCGGCUCCCACGUUUUGGUACCUUACGUUCCGCUAUAUCGGCUUAGGUAGCACUGGGAGAACUACUGCGAUUGUGUCCCGGUUCUUCUGGAUGAGCACCUCAGUAGAGAAAGCCAAAAACUGACUGUCAUGAUACGGCGAGAGCUGGUCAGCUGUUCGAGAGGUUGUAAAAUCUUUAAGGAUUUCUCCCGCAUAAUGCCAUAACCAAUGCAGCGUGCGAUGGAUCGGGUUUUUCUUCCGAUCAGGUGCUUAUAGAGCCCCUCGUGCGGUCUUCUGAACACCAGGGGCUGCGCCUACCUUCCUAAAGCUCCUAUGGCUAAGUGAGAGCGAUAAAGCCCUAUAGUCCGAUUGCCUGGUUCGUUGUGCUGAACACCUCCUUCGAAGGACCCAAAAUUGGGAUAAAGAGUGAUCAGGUCUAUCCCGAGCACCCCCGUACUUCUUACGUGGGGGCAGAAGCCGACGAAUGGCCAACUCUCAGGAUUAAUAUAUAAAACGGCCGCGCAGGAGGAUAAACUUUUAUAUAACAGGCAAUAAAUAAUAUAAAUGACCUUGUUCAGACAUUACAAAGGACAACAUGAUUUGCAUUCACGGAAAUAUAAUGUCCUUGGUACAUAGCUCCGCUGCAAGGCAGGAUCCUUUCAGGACACUCUCAUAAUAUAAUUCGGGCUUGCGGUGCUCCUUCCCCUCUGGUGGUCCUUCGGUCAUUAGCUUUUCAGCAUCCAUCUUCCCACAGUGCACCUUUGCGCGGGCGAAGGCCAUUCGCGCACCCUCUAUACAGACCGACCGCUUGAUGACAUCAAGUCGAGGGCAGGCACUCACAAGCCGCUUCACGAGCCCGAAGUAGCUGCUUGGAAUCGGCUCAGCGGGCCAUAGCCGGAUAAUCAGAUCCUUCAUGGCUAGUUCCGCCGCCUUAUGCAGUUUGAUCAGCUGUUUCAGUUGAUCGACAAAAGGCACCGGAUAAUUCGGUGCCAAAUACUGCGACCAGAAGAGCUUAUCCGCAGUGUUCCUUUCUUCGGCUCGGUAGAAUUGGGCGGCAUCCGAUAUGCUGCAGGGCAGCUCGGCAAAUACCCCUGAGAAAUCCGAAUUCAAAAUUAGACAUAAUUGUCUCCUCAAAUACUUGGUUUACAUGGAAAAAGACUUACCCGCCGCGAUCUUCCUCGCCUCUUUGAUCCCCUGUAGGGCGCUUUGGGUUUCCCCCCGGGCUUCGCUCGUGGCCUGAUGCGCCUUGGUGAGUUCGGAUUCUUUCUCCGUUAAACUCUACUCCAAGGUCUCGCAUUUCUUCACGGCCUCUUGCAGCUCCUGCUCAGCUUUAAUAACCCUGGCCUCGUGCUUCUCACGAAGAGCCUGCUGUGCGGUUGCCUUUUUCUCGGCCUCAGCCACAGCUUUCUUAAGAGCCUCGACUUCGGUCAUCAUCCCUAGCGCAAAUCAUGAAACAUAUUUCAUCAUACUGAAAAUUCAUUCGCAAUAUACGUGAACAAGACUUGCGCAUACCUUGUUUAUCUCCCAACUGCAUUUUCAACUGGCCAAGUUCUUUUUGGGCCCGCUCCAGACUUUGAUUCAGUCCAGAGACCUCCACAGUAUGAGAGGCAGCAGCCGCUACAGACGCCUGCUUAUAACAGAAGAGAAAUAGAUGUCAUCCAAUGAGUCUUCCUGUGAACAUACAAUUUGAUCCUCUGUCCGGUUCUUUCUUUCACCGAACAGUGUAUCAGGGGCUACUAUCCAUACCAUGACACUCUUCGAAACCUCAUAAAACAUACCUCAAAACCUUUUAUAAGGCUGAUACAGGCUUCAUUCAGUCCACUCUCAGCAGACUGAAUCUUCUCAAUCACCGCACCCAUAAGGGCACGGUGUUCAUCGACGAUGGAGGCGCUCUUCAGCGCCACCAACAAAGCAUGCGACACCUCUGGUUGGACAGAGAUUGCCGGUGAAACAGGCAUGCCCCCUCCAGCUGAGAGAGGCUGCCUGCUUGAUUCUGGAGCCGUAUUGGUCUCCGGAAUUGCAUCCGGCUGGGAGCCGAAUUCAAGAUGGCCCCCGCCAUCAGCUCCCAUGGGAAUUUUCUCCCCCAUGUGUCCGACCCCUGAAGUUUGAUCUCCAGGCGCCGCCUUCACGGUCUUUUCCUCUCCUCCUUGGUCGGGGUCCCUCUGGGACGAAGCCUCGGUGUUAUUCACCUAUUUGGAUGAAGGGGCCUUCGGGGGCGUCCCGCUCUCCAUUGCAUCCGAUCUCAACGAAUCCUCUGAUGAGGAUUGUUUGAUACGGGACCUCGACGGACUACAAAAAAAUGGCUCAGGUUAAAAUAUUAUGCCAUGAUGAGUCUGGACGCAUAAACGUACUCAGAUUCAAUAUACUCAUGAAUUCACCAGGGGCUGGGCCCUGGGAUCCCAUGCCGGGCCGCUGUCGGCGGCGGCAGUGGACUCCUCCAGAAGAGGAGCUUUGCCCCUUUUGGGCGACUCGGCCUCCAAGUGUGCGGAGGCUGUCCUCUUCUUUCUUCCCCCCGCAGGGGAUUCAUCUUCCUCCUCCUCCUCGUCCUCUUCGGAGGCGGAACGGGCAUCAGAGCCUUCAGAUAUUGUGUCCGAAGUGCCGUGGCGACGAAGGCCGCCCCAAGUCUUUUUGGCCUCCUCGGCCGUCUUCUUCGGCACCUUGUAAGGCGCCAGGACCAGCAUCUUCGUCAGAAGUGGGACGGCCGGUUCUUCGGGCAGCGGGGCCGGACAAUGGAUCCGCACCGCCUUCUUCGUACAGCCCUAGGAGAAUUGUGGAAAACACAUUAGGCGCUUCCCUUGGGUUAUGCGGAUAAAAAGUACGAUGACUUACCAAGCUUGCAGGGCGGGACGGUUGGUACCCGCGGUCUUCGGCGGAGUCCGGCCAUGAUUUCCAGGACUUGAAAAGCACCUUCUAGAUGUCCUUGUGCGAGGAGCCGAAAAGCACUCGCAGGGUUUGGUGCUUGGCCAGAUCGAAUUCCCAUAGAUUGCAAGUCCGGUGUUGACAAUGCAGGAUCCGGCAAACUAACAUCACCUGGACUACAUUGACAAGUUCAAUGUUCUUGUCUCCCAUAUCUUUAACGUGCAUCUGGAGCACUGACAAUUCGUUGGACGAGGACCAGUUCAGGCCCUUCUUGACCCAGGUUGUAAGCCGCAGGGGGGCACUAGAUCGAAACUCGGGAGUAGCGGCCCAAUCCGUGCCACGCGGCUUGGUGAUGUAAAACCACUGCUGUUGCCACUCCUUGACAGAAUCGUUAAAGGUGCCUGUUGGCCAUGUAACAUUGUGCAUCUUGCUCACCAUAGCGCCCCCGCACUCGGCGUGCUCACCACCCACUACCUUGGGCUUCACAUUGAAAAUCUUCAGCCAUAAGCCGGAAUGUGGCGAGAUGCGGAGAAAAGCCUCGCACACGACAAUGAAUGUCGAGAUGUUGAGGAAGGAAUUAGUGGACAGAUCGUGAAGAUCGAUCCCAUAAUGAUACAUAAUGCCGCGAACGAACGGGUGGAGGGGAAACCCUAGCCCGCGGACAAAGGGAUGGAGGAAUACAACCCUCUCGUGGGGUUCCAGAGUAGGGACGAUCUGUCCCGCCGUCGGGAGACGGUGGCUAAUUUUCUUGGCCAGAUACCCGGCCUCCCAAAGCUUUUUGAUGUCCUUCUCCCGGACGGUAGAGGCCAUCCAUUUGCCUCCUACUCCGGAUCCAGACAUUUUCGGAAGGCCUUUGUGGGCAGAGAAGAUGAACACUUGGGCGCUGGAGCUCGGGCGGAGGGGAAUGGAUCGGGAAGAAGAAAGCGUGGGUGCGAAUAGGAGUCCUUAUCCCCUUAUAAAGGCAGCAGGGAUUCUACGCCUCCCGACUUGCCUGGUAAAACCGCUUAUUCCCCCAAGCGCCGUAAUUGAUGGCGCGGUUGGGUUACCCACACCCGUAUUGAUGAGAAUCCCGUGAAAAGAGGGACACGAUCUCUGCUUCGACAAGACGUACCAACAAAACCGCCUCGCAACACGUGCAAUGGCAGGCUCGAAAAAACGGUUCGUCAUGACCACAUCACGGCAGAAUGUCACGUUAAGAAAAGCUGUCAGCAGAUUAGAUUUGUGGAAAUAUUAUUCUCUCUACGGUGGUAUGUGGAAUUUGUUUUGCAGGGCCGGACACUAUCCUUGAGUUCAAAAUCUUCUAUGGAAUACUCGGAGGAGGAACCCGCCUCGCAAUGCCGAAGACGAUCUGCAUGCCGGACUCAUCGUCAUUGAAGCCUGGUUCAGGGGCUACUGAGCGAGUCCUGGAUUAGGGGGUCCCCGGACAGCCGGACUAUAUACUUUAGCCGGACUGUUGGACUAUGAAGACACAAGAUUGAAGACUCCGUCCCGUGUCCGGAUGGGACUCUCCUUGGCAUGGAAGGCAAGCUUGGCAAUACGGAUAUGUAGAUCUCCUCCCUUGUAACCGACUCUGUGUAACCCUAGCCCCCUCCGGUGUCUAUAUAAACCGGAGGGUUUAGUCCGUAGGACAACAACAAUCAUACCAUAGGCUAGCUUCUAGGGUUUAGCCUCUACGAUCUCGUGGUAGAUCAACUCUUGUAAUACUCAUAUCAUCAAGAUCAAUCAAGCAGGAAGUAGGGUAUUACCUCCAUCGAGAGGGCCUGAACCUGGGUAAACAUCGUGUCCCCCGCCUCCUGUUACCAUCCGCCUUAGAUGCACAGUUCGGGACCCCCUACCCGAGAUCCGCCGGUUUUGACACCGACAGGGAGGAGUAGUAUGAAGGUGCAAAACCAAGUACGCGUAUGGCCAGUCAGUCAACGCACCUCCUCCUGGCAUAUCACUGACAUGUGGGACCGGAGUGUGGGCAAACUGAUCUCAAUUGACGGCAAAAUGGCCAACCCGCCGUUCCUUGAGAGAGACGAGGAGCGAGAACACAGACGGGCUCGCACGGAGGCCAAGAUAUAUUCAAGCAUGGUUGAUAGAUAUCAUUAUUACAUGUUGGGCUGCCGUUUUCCGCCCUUCUCUGGAAUAAAUGCGUUCUUUAUCAGAGAUUAAAAAAAAUAAGAGUACAGAGGCUCCACCAUGCGGUUCUAGUAGUAGUACUACUCGUACUACUUAACCUUGCGCUUGGCUCUUCGCCUCUUCGUGAAGUCAAAAAAUGUUGGUACUCCGCAUGUUCGGUAGUACAGUGUAUGCCUCUGGCAAUCUGACACCGAAUGAGCUGAUGCAUGUCCACCGCCUGGGCGAGGGUACGUUGCAUUAGUCAAAAGGCGUAAGCGAGCUUCACCUUGUCUUGCAAGCUUCUCCUUGUUCUGCGAGUUGACGGGACACACCAAAAAGUAGUGCUAGUCCAUACUCCCUCCUUUCCGGUUAAUAUGGCUUAAUCUUUUUUGCGGGUAAAUGAGAGAGCUUUAUUCAUAUAUAAGCAUUCUUAGGACAGUCAGCCAAGACACUGGUCACUAGGAAGCGAGGUAGUACCCCGCAAAAAAGAAGUAGGAAGCAAGGUGUUUCAUCAAGCCAUCUCUCGGCCACAUUCAAAGUGCAGCAAGCACGGUUCGCACAAAGAUGCGCCGCAAGGUUUGCUGACCUAUUUACAUGUUGAAUAACAAAAAAGAGGAAAUAUUACCGAGCGCUCCUAUUUUUAACAGGAUAUGAGCCAGAAUUAAGCGAGAAUUGUGGCGAGUGUUCCAUGCAAUCAACUUCCAUUAUCACAUGCGAGAACCCUCGAAGAGAACCAAAUGUGUUGAAGAUUGCUUUAUCACAUUUUAAAAAUAUAAUAAGAGUGCAGACGCUCCUCCAUCCGGUUCCUAGUACUAGUAUAGUACAUACCUCUAUAGACUAUAGUAGUAGUACUAGUACUAGUAAACUUUGCGCUUGGCUGUUCGCCUCUUCGGGAAGUGGAACAAUAAUAGUACUAGUAUAGUGUAUGCUUCUGGCAAUCUGACACUGAAUUAACUGUUGCACGUCCACCACCUGAGCGAGGGAGAGCUUGCAUUAGUCAAAAGUUUCUCCUUGUCCUGCGGGCCACCGCACGCAAGCUUCUCCCGUCCUGCAAGCUUCUCCUCAUUCGGCAAGUUGACGGGACACACCAAAGUAAUGCUAGUCCAUACUGCCUCCUCUCCGGUUAAUAUGGCUUAAUUUCAAAUGAGAUAAAUACAUUGUAUGUCACUGUAUAUUUGUAAAAAUACGGCCAGUGGACUUCAUAAUACGCUCAUUGCACUCAAUAUAUACAUUUUCUGGUGUUUAUACGGUCACUAGCUCACCCUGGCUGAAUAUGUGCGUGCAUGCACGUGUAGGUUGAGCACUUGAGCGUGACUGUGUGUGUUCCGUCGUGUGCUCGGACAUGCAUGCAUUAGGGCAUCGCGCGCGUUUUUGCGUCCAUGUGUAUGUGUGAAUGUUGCAUACACGUAGGGGGAGUACGUGUAGGGGCCACUAAAGGAGUAGUCAAAUCACACGGUAAGUUAGUCCGAAGAAGCAACCAUCAUUUCACUCUUCAAUUACUCGUACGCAAUAUAAAAUGGUUGAUAUGGAGAGAAAAAGAAAACCACUAUAUAUACACUAGCAGGAGCCUAAGCUACAAGCCUGCUUGCUUGGGUUGCUCUCUUCACAAGCAUAGAACGACGGUGGCCACACCGCUGGUCACAUAUCCGGCCUGAUCCCGCAGCUGGGGGAAGGGAACAAUGUUCUGCGUAGACGCGGUGGACAUCAGCGAGGGAGAAAAUCCACAGUCGGUGCGUCCCAAUUGGGGGUCACUGCGGUAUGGGCCAAUGCCGCAUCCCAACCGCCCUUCUAGCUACAGCCCGACGUCCCAGGUAGUCCAUCUUCCUUUUGGAGCCGGCUUCCUCCACUGCCGCAGCUCCCCACGUAGCUCCAUCUCCAUGUCGAUCUUUCUCUACUUCUACCGGCUUCUACUUGUGAUGAGUUUAUGUCUCAUGAACUAGUGCAGUACUAUUAUUCCAAUCACACUUCUUCAAUAUCUUUGCCAUCAGGGAUGCUCAGCUCGAUUUUAGUGGAACUGCACAAAAGCAUCGUAUGAUCUGAGGGUGCCAGCCAUCUUUCCUUCAACAGGUUCUACCUGGCCAAGAAAUUAAAUCCUGUUUAGGGUUUAGGGUUUAAGUCGUAGUGACCCCAUCAGUAGUUUUUCUUUCGUACACGCUCUCACAACUUUUGUCUUUAGUUGUGAAGUAAAUAUUGGCUAUGAUCUGUGAAUCAUUGAGAUGCAUCAACAUGCGUGUUAGUUUUCCUUUGUAUUUGAUGGAAUGUUGUAACGGGGCAACCUUGGAGUAGGAAUGAAAAUGGAGUGGAAAGUUUCCGUUUUUCCGGAGAAAAAAUAGAAACGGAGAGAAACCAACGUUUCGUUUUGUUGGAUCGCGCCAUCGAGCAAAACCAACAUUUAAAUCACGUCUGUCGCGUUCGUGUCUCACCCUCCUCUACGGCUCGACCCCACACGGUCGCUCGGCAUGCCCCUCAGCGCAAACGGAGUAUACGAUAAAUUUCCCGCCUGCUUGUCGAUGGAUCGCGCCAUGGAGUACUAGUACUACUGGAAGAGAUUGACGAGUUGGGGGAGGACAGCUAGCUGUAGCAUGGACUCCCAAGAACUUUUUACAUGCAUGUUGUGGCCGGCUAUUGCGACCUUUGAACGCGGAGCAGUCGCGUGCACCAGGAAGCGGCGCGGGCGAUGCUCUCUCGACCGGCGUGCUGCUUCAAUGCCGGCGCCAGUGAGAGGUCGCGCCCGCUCUGGCCGGGCAUGAAUGCGGCACUGACCGUUUCGGGCGGGAAACACGCGCGGGUGAUGAAGAGGGUUCGGGUUGGUCAGGAGCGACGUGGCAGCGGUCCGGACGCCCGCAAACAAGAGAUGUUGUACGUUAAUAUUGCCGCGUAUAUAAUUAACAACGUAAAUAAUGUGCCAGUUGGACAAAUAUGAUUGGAGAUGGAGAUGGAAAUGGAAUUUUACGUAAACACGUAUGCAUGUCUAUGUCUAUGUGUGUGUGCGCGACGACUCUCGCGACCUGGAAGCGGGGGCGUGUUUUUGAUCGAGUUUUCUUUCUUGGUACGUUAAAAAAUUGUCCGCCAGUUUUCGUUUCUUUUUUCUGGGAACGCGCGUAUUCUAUUUAAAACCACUGCUAUGGAGAGAUUGUUUUACUCCAUUAUAGCCUCUUGUUUGAUAGAGUUUCUCGCGUCUCGCUCUCUCACCCUCUCCAUAUCAAAACAAGAUGACAGUGUCCACACUAUCUCUCUCCUCACCGGUGGUCACAGAUCCGGCCGAAUCCCAUCUGCUGCGGGAGGUGAGGAGGUGCAGCGUUGACAUUGUCGCCGUCGGCAAUGGAGGAAGCCGAUGCGCACUGCCCUCUCGGAGCCGGCGCUGGCGCGGACGAAGAUCCUCCGCGCCCUUGUUCGCUGUCGUCGUGUGGGAAGAUCCCACCCGCCCGCCUAAGCGACAUCUCGCCCACCUGAGGUAUAACUUCUUGUACUGAUCCAGCUCCCCAGGUCGCUGCAUGCGGGUUUUCUUCUAUGCGACUACUCCCCAGCUCCCCAUGUAUAGUAGCUAGGGUUCGUCGGCUGGUCCAACAUCACCUACUAUCACUCGAAGAGUUGUCCUGAUUUAUGCCUCGGUGGAGGUAUACAUGUUGUUUCGACAAAAAGUACAUGCUGGUUGUGCGGUCAUUGUCCAUAUGCUCAUAUUGCUGCUGCUAAUCUAAUACUAUCACUGGUUAAAUGAAGAAAUGCUUUUUUCUUGGGUAUCCUGGUUUAGUUCCCAUCAAGAUAAUCAUGAUGCUUCUAUUUGUUGGUGUACUUUUCAUAAUUCUUAUUGACAAUUGAGAUGUCGUUGUUAAUCUUGUAAAACAAAGUAACAACACUAUAUCCCUUUUUUAUAUUUUUGGAAACAGCGAUGCGUAUCUCCAUACCCGGGCAUGUCUUCCUCAAUUUUAGUGGAACUGCACAAAAUUGGAUGGCCAUUGUUGUUCUGCCUCACUUUCCUCUACCACGUGGUUCUUCCUUCCUCGAGCUUGACUACUGAGAAGAAACAGACCACAGUGAGGAUUUGUCGAACUUCAUAGGUGCCUCACCCAAACUUGAUGCCAAAUGGAUGAUGCAUCACCACGAUGACCUAUCGAUGCUCAUGGUUGCGCCUCAUGGUUGCGUCGGCUGGUGAAGCUAAUCGAUUUUCAAUGAAAAACAAGCUGUCUUGUGACAGCCUGGUUUUUGCCCUCUUUUAUUUGCCUGAUUUUCAUUUGGAUUGAUUUUAAAAUUUGGAGUUUUUGAAUCUUUUCAUAUGGACUUAAACACUUGGGUACCCCUUGGCUUUCACCCAAGUGCCUCAUUUCCCUCUCUAAUCAUCUUUUCCUCUCUGGUUCUACUCAAAAUAAUAUUUGGAAUAUUUUCUUAAAUGAAAAAUAUUCAUUUCCCCCUCUUAAACCCCGGCUCGCUCAAUGUGCUCCAAAGCAACCCCAAUUUUUCUUGCCCACAAAUAUCUGAGAAAAUUCACAAAUAUUCUUUGAACCCUAGGCCGCCUUCCUGAGCAAAAAUAUUUCAUCACUUUUUGGAAUAUUUUUGCUACAGAAAAUAUUUUCUGUUUUGGACAGAAAUGAUGGUUUCUACAGCAACUACCAUUUUACUUGCUCCAAUGUGGCUGAUUUUUCUUGUGCAUCAUCACCUGAGUAGAUGAUUGCUAACCUCCAAAGCCUAGCUCCCAACUCCCAGCCGUUUGACCUCAGUAACCUCUCAAAGUUACUGAUCAGAAACUUACUAGGCUUGUGAAAUCUUUUCUACUGCGUCUGGAUCCAAACCAAAGUGUGGUAAUCUUCAAAACUACCACGAAAAACAAGCCAGACAUGAGUUUUGGACUUAGGUCGGCCUGAGGGCAAAGUUCACACGGUGACCACGCAUGUACACGAUGCCAACCCGCGUGUCGACACGCUCUGAGUGCCGCCGAGCGCUCUGUUUCGCGCAUGCUCGCUUCCCCGCCUGCCUAAGCAUGCCAAACCUCGCCACAAUCUUCGUCCUAGCUCCCUUAACUCUCCCCUGGCACUCGCCGACGCCGGAGCUCGCCGCAACGAGCACGGGCGCGGUCCGGCCAACGCAACAGUGCGCUCUGCACUGUGCCCGUCGCCUUCCUCUUGAUCCUGUGCUCGUCUCCGUUCGCCCAUAGUCCCCGCGUGAGCUGCAUCGCCUUCUCCCCCUCUCACUAACGCUGCUCGUCGCCGGGCGCCAUGUCCAGGUGUCACCGGCGUAGCCCGAUCCCUCCCUCGAUGCUCGCCUAUAAAUGGAUCCCUCCCUAGUCUCCUCGAGCACCAUCCUCCACUCCCACACACUCCACAACCUCGUAGAGAACCGUAGCCCGGCCAGGCAGGCCGCGGGCUGCCGUCCCCGAGCUCGAUCUCGCUGGCGAUCCCCUCGGGUCGUCUCCGUAGCUCCGGCCCCUCCCAGGCCUGGGCAACCCUUCCAGGGCCUCCGCCACUCUGCGGUGGUGCCGUUUCGCCCGGUUGGAGUCGCCUCUGCUCGCCGUCGUCUUCAUCUCCGGCGAGCUCUACUUCCUGUCUCCGCUAGAGAGGACGAUUUCGACGCCGUCCGCCCCUAGCCACUCUACGGGUACGGGCAGGUGCGCCUCUGUCUCCUCUCUCGAUCCCUCCCUCUCAUUUUGGCCAAGGAGCCCUCGUCGCCGGCGUGAGCUCCCGCGAAGCCGCACCAUUCUCUGUUUCCUUUCCCCUCUCCCCCUCACCUGACUAGCGGGGCCCGCUAGUCAGCCACUCAGUACGCGCGUGAAGCGGUACGAGUGGUGGCGCCCCGAGGCUUUACGCCUUCGACGUCACCCCCAGUCUGUUUUUAUUUAAAUUCAAAUUUCAUUUAUAUCCGGAGAGCUUCAAACAGCUAUAACUCUUCAACCACAAGUCCAAAUGAAUUGAUUCUUUUUGCAUUGUGUUCUUUGUAAAGAAAUCUAGCAGCUCACCAAAAAUGGGAUUUUCCCCUGUUGUCUAGAUUUUCUGGUGAUUUUUAGAAGGGUUCUUGAUAUUUUCUUCUUGUGUUUAAAAUUAUUUUCAGAGGGUGAGGCUUGUCUUGAGGAUCACCACGAGGCUUGUGAACCUCAUCUGCACUAAGGCAAGCCACAACAACAUUUUCAUGAUGCCACUACAAUAUUUAUGAUUUUUCUACUUGAAUGAAUGAUUUAAUCCAUGCAUUUAAAUCACUAUUAUGCUAUUUAUAUUCUGUUAGUGCUUGUUUAAGUUAAUAUGCUUGAAUUACAGAAAGUUUGUAGCUAACUAAGUUGGUAUAGAGACUAGAAUUUAUUUUGCUAUGAAAGAAAUAAUAUGGUUAUGGAUAUAAGUCAUUAAUUGGAAUUAUUUUUCUUGCAUGAGAAAAAUGAUAAAAUUUGUUAGAAAAGAUUCUGUUUAGUGUGAGGUUUAAUCUUAACCAGAGAAGUGUCAAGAGUUAUUGAUGUUAUGCUUAGUGUGGAUAUAGUUGACUCAGUCUUUUCCGUUAAUAUGUGAUGCAUAUGUUAGUGUUGCAUUUCAUGGCAUACUAUGACACCGGUUAUUUUCAAUUUAAGUUGAACCUGAUAAUAACACAACUUGAAUAUAUCAUUGACCGGGUCAUGGUGCCACUGAAUCGAGUUUUUCCCACUACAACCACAUUUGCCUGUAUGGGAAGGCCUUUAUUCUGUCCGUUGUCAUGCCUCUGGUCGGUGCCUCCAACGAGGGAAGGUUAUGGGCGUGCGGUACCCUGGCCCGAUAAGCAGACAUAACCUUGUGUGCCCGUUGUUGAGAUUUUUGGUACCGGUCCCCGUGAGGGACGUUUAUGUUUUGGCCAGGACAGUGGUCGUUGUGUCUUUGGUAGACACGGGGCCACCCAAGACUAGCCCAGUUGGGAGAGAGUCAGAGUGGCCGGGAGAGUGUCAUGGCAAUGGAGGGGUUCCGUCGGAAUGCCGUUGGUCCACCCGAAUGGGAGUACGAGGCCAUGGGUUCCGUGAUGUGGGUACAGUGCGCUACCUCUGCAGAGUGUAUUAAUCUAUCGAUAGCCGAGUCCACGGUUAUGGACACGCUCGAAAGUAGGUCACACCAUGGGUCAACAUUUAAUAAAUCUUACACACUAAGUUAUGAACUUUGCAUAGUUAAGUGAUGGCGGGAAGGUCAUCUUGUGGGUUGAGACCAAGUGUUGGUCGUGGUUGUGAUCGCCGGAAGGAUCGCCGUUUGAGACCAAAGAGUGGCCGAUUUGUGGUCGCCAAAAAGAUCAUGAGAUAUCCCUAGUUAAGACCAUGAUGUUGGCAUGGUGGUGAUCCAAGAGCGAUCACCGUUGGUAAGUCAGUCCGUGGGACUUUUCCCACAAGAGCAUGAUCACAACAUGUCGGUUAUUUUGUUGCAUUAUUAAUAAUUGGUUAAUUAUCAUGAUAUUGUUUGUCAUUAUGUUUAUGCUUGUUGUGAGCUUCCAAGUACAUUCAAUGUACUGACCUGGCGUGUCAUGCCAGAUUUCAGGAAAGUCUCGUUGGAAAGGAGUGCUGUCCGAAUCUAGAUUGUGUCCACAUCGGUGUCCCUGUGUUAUGGAGUUUCCACUACGACGUUGUUUCGCUGCCGCGUAGUUAUUAUGAUCGAGGCCCCUUUAUGUUCACUAAAUAAUGUACAUAUUGUUCAGCCGCACCGUGUGUGCCGCUUGGCCUCGCUACCUAUUGUAAUAUAAACUAUUAUCCGCUAGCAUCAAUAAAGCGGUUGUUUUCUGUACCAAGAUGUUGUGUGUUGCCAGAAGACAUGGUCUCUGGGCUGGCAAUGCAUGGUAAACCGGUUGCUCUGAGCCGGGGUGCCACAUGUAUUCCAUUAGUGCUCUUUGCUUGUUACCCACAAAGAUGAUAUCCUUCGUCAGUUCACCUUGGUUGCGUUGGAGACGCAGUCGUCUUUCACGUUGGUGCAAUUUUAUCACACAAUUGGCUAUGAACCAAAUGUUUCCUCGAAGAAGGAUCGACGUUGGUACUAAGAGCAUAAGUUUUGUAUUGAUUUCUAAGCCUUCUCACAACUUUGUCUCCAGCUCCCCUGUAAUUUUAUUUGUCCAGCUAUUAACUUUGAUUAAAAAAAUGGUGUGGACUAAAAACCCAGAUGGACGUAGUAGCCCUCCAUUUUUAUUCAUUCCGCAUAUUAGAUUUGACUGAAGUCAAACAUUGUAAAGUUUGACCAAGUUUAGGUCGAACACAACAAACCAUAAUUAUUAGAGAGGGCAAACUGUACAUACUCUCAAACCUUUCCGAUAAUUGAAAUUAAAAUUCUUUAUUUGUACACACUCUCACACGUUUCCGAUAAUUUGGCGCAUGUGUGGUUGUUCAAUUAAGGGAGGGUAGUGUACCGCAUGUGAAGGACAGGAAGUGCGACCAGGAUGCAUGGAUCAUUAGUUCAUAGGAAGUACUCCCUCCGUUCCUAAAUAUUUGUCUUUCAAGUGGUUUUCAAUGGACUACCACAUACGGAUGUAUAUAGAAUUUUUUUACAGUGUAGAUUCACUCAUUUUGCUCCGUAUGUAGUCAUUUGUUGAAAUCUCUAGAAAGACAAAUAUUUAGGAACAGAGGGAUUAGUAGUUUUCUUCACUGGUACGUUAAAUAAAGAGUUUCGUUUCGUACUUACACAAUUUAAAACGAUUGUUAUGGAGAGAAUAAGAAAACCACUCCACUAUAUAUUAGUCGUAUACACGAGUACUAUAUGGGCACAGCUUCAUUGACUUUAGUGCACCUGCCUUUGGGUUUAUGACAGGUGGGCCCAAAAUGUGGCUGGCCCACCUGCCAUACAGCCAAAAGCAGGUGCCGUUAGGGCACCGGAGCUCAGUCCGUACUACAGUAUACACUACAAGAAAUAUGUCAACUUGUGACCUUGAAUAUUGGUCACUGAAAGGUCAUUGUUUUUCAUUUGCGACCUUUUUGUGACCAAAAACAGAAGGUCAAAAGCUGGCAGUCAUAAACUGAAAUUAACGACCUUCUCUAUGAGAAGGUCAUAGAUGUUUACGACCAAAACAGAAGGUCGUUGAACCCAUGACCUUUUGUUUUGGUCACUGGCUGUCUGCCCAGGCCACGUCGGAUCCGACGUGGCAAUCUGACGUGGCUAAAUUGCGGCCAAUUGAAAAGGUCACUCACAAGAUUCAGCCCGGUCCGAUUGGGUGUUUUACAUGGGCCAGGCCCGACAAUUCAGCCAAUUUAUGAUUUUUUUCCUUGAUGUUUUUGGGCCUUUUCUAUCAUGGGCCCUUACCUUUCCACAUAGUUCGUUUCCUUUUUGUUUCUAUUUCAGUCAAGGCCUGCUUAUAGUACUUCUGAAUUGCUUUUCAGCCCAGGUUAUUUUGGGCCAUGGCAUCUUAAUAGUACAAGCAUAUUUGGGUCGUGGCCACUAUCAGGUCCAGUAAGAACAUUUUCUGGAGAAUUUAAUGUUCAAGUAAAAUGUACACAACACAUUACAGGAAAAUAACACAUACAAGAGCAGAUAGAAUUUCAUUUCACUCCUACAGCUCACUACAUCACAGUACAUGACAAUCAUUCAAAAUAGGCCGCCACACGACAUGGAAGCAAAAUAAACAGUACUGCUCUUGGAAGCAAAAUAAACAGUACUAGGCAGUACUGUUUACUAGGAAGUAGACGAGUACAUCUCAUUUCAAAUAAACAGUACUGCUCUUGGAAGAAAAAUAGGCCGCCACACGCCAUGGUGCUCCAUCUUACUCGAUCUGGCCCCAAGUAACACUACAAAAAAAAGA